CGCCACAAAGAGAGCUCCAGCAUUUCCCGAUUGCAACAUUGUUGCUCUAAAACCGAUCGCAGCGAAUUACGAAGACGAAGACGAAAACAAAACGAACCGUUUCGGUGCAUACAUUUACCUUGAGGUGGACGAUUCCAACAGUUUUUGGGGGCUUAUUGUUCCGUCUCCCCGUGCCGCUGUCAAUCCUCGAAAGGCGGUGAGUGGAGAUCUCACCGAUGAGUCGAACGUCGUCGUUUGGCGUCAAGAGACUGAGCGUUUCGGGGCGCCGAAUCUUGGCGUAGGAGAGGACGCCGUUUCGGAGAAGAAACCACCUGGAUCUCCACCCCUUGCUGUAAUUGGUCCACUUGUGGAGAACUCCGGCGACGGUGGUCUCAGAUCCCGCCGGCCGGCCGGAGGCAUUGGUAUCAGAUCCAAGCGGCGCCGUCGCCAGACUCGUCGGAAGGCUACGGGUCCGGGAGAGCGAGAUCUCCGGCGACUGGUCGCCGAGUCCCGCGCUCUCCAGCGUGAUGCAGCAGAGCGGGUGCAUCUCCUUGACUCGCAUUUCGGCCAACCAAAACGACGUCGCGAAAAUUCCAAUGCAAAAGGAAACGAAACGAUUACAAGCGACAACCGUUCACCGAUUGUUAAUUCCCCAUUCUUUCAUGCGCUGAAUGAAAAACUGCAACAGAGGAAGAAGAAGAAGAUUAAUACGAAUAAUUAAUAAAUAUACGCAGCGUCGAGUUGCGUCAAUCAAAAUCGAAAUUAAUUACGAGAAAUGAAAAUGCAGGCAUGCAUAUGUCGAUCGUCACCAUCAAAAAAUGUGAAAAUUGAUUUUAGGCUAUUUUGAGAGAGAGAGAGAGAGAGAGAGAGAGAGAAGGCUCCUCUGCUUUCUCUCUCUUUCUCUCGGUUAGAGACGAACCUGGGGAGAGUGGAGAGCUCUGAAACUGAGAGAGAUUCGGGAAGAGAGAGAGAGUGUGUGUGUGUGAUUGUGUGUGUUUGAAAGAGUAGAGGAUUAUUAUAAUGAGGACCGAAAAGAGCUUCUUCUUCUUUUCUUUUCUUUUCUUUUUUCUUUUUAUUUAUUUUAUUUAUUUAUUUAUUUAUUUUUAAUAAUUAUAUUUGUUUGGCUUGGAUUGAUGGCAAAGUAUUUAUAUAGAAUAAGUUGGAAAGGGAAGGAAGGAGGGUUUGGUGUCUCUAUAUGGUGUGUAUAAAGAGCAGUGGGUGUGAGACUGAGACUGAGAGUCUGUCUGAGACUGAGAGAGAGAGAGAGAGAGGUGUGCGGUGAGUAAUUAUAGUGGCAAAAUAGUAAUUAAAUGCAUUGGGAAACAGAUUUCCAAGCUGGAUUCUACUACUUACUUCUCCUUCUUCCCGCUCUGUUUAAUCCUCUUUUGCUUUGGACAUAGAGCAAGAAGAGAGGGGGAGAUCUUUUAUUUCUCGCGAGAUGAUUGAAAGUAUAUCGGAAAAAUCUCGCGUGGACGGUGGACGGUGGAUGUGGGGUGUUGGCGUGGCGGCAAUCGGGGGAGAGGGAACUGAGAAUCGGGAACCGGGAAAUGGGCGGGACAGAAAAUACAGAUCCUGAAAGGGGUGUUAUUAAUAUCCAUUUACUGUGGUAAUUAUCAUCAAAUUUUUUUUUCCAGAGAUAAAUGAAAAUUAUCAAGUUCGGUCAAAGUUUUUUAGGGCCCUACCUAUCCUGUUUAAUUAGUUGCUGUCUAUUAAUAUUUUCGGUAGCCCAAGUUCAGUGGUUUCCCUCCACAUGGCAUAUUCCUAUCCGACACUUGGGAGAUUUCUAGAGGGAAAGAAAAAAUUAUACAAAUAUUGAAUAUAUAAAAAAUUAUAUUUGGGAUUGGUUACAGAAAAAAAUUGGUAACUCCUUUUUUUUUUUUUUUUUUCUUUCUCAAAGUUUAAAGAAAAGAAGGUUGCACAAUAUAAUAUGAGGCUUUGAUAUGUAUGAUUUUAAGAUCCGUAGAAGAUAUUCGUUGUAAUUUAUUAUAUAUUGAAAAGAAACGAUAUAAUUUGAGGAAUGUUACCGAAAAAUAUUGGAAAAGAGGUUUGUUUUAAUUUUGGUCAAAGGUAAACUUCGUUAGAGAAAUGAAGUUAGGACAAAAAUUGUUUGUUCCAAUAAGAACAGUGGAUUAAAGGCCAAAAAGAAACAAAAAGAUUAGUGCCUAAUUGAGACAUUAUGAUAUGAUUCAUUCCAUGAUUUGAUUCAUUAUAAAUUUUCUCAAUCUAACUUUCUUUUUUAUCCCCAACUCACUGUGCGUUACUUUCCAUCGAUUGGAUUACUUGACUGAACCAAAGAAAAUAAAUAAAUGGCAUUAGAGAAAGACUUGUUUAAAGAGGCAAGUGGCACAAGAAGUUUUCGAGGGCAAAAAACUUGUAUUCCAUUUUUAAUUUUAAUUUUUUUUUAAUACGAGUAAUAGUUUAAACUAUUGUCGUGGAAAUUCAAACCUAAGACUUUUGAUAUGCAAUUUAAUGCUAUUUUUUAUUAGGCUAAAUUUAUUUCUUAAAUUAGAGAUAAUUGAUUAAAAAGAUAGAGAAAUAGAUUCAUUUUGACAUGUUCUAUUCAAAUCAGUUUCCCAAACUUUUCUUUUAAACCACCCUUAUGAUUGUGUGUCCGAAUUACAAAUUCUAAUUUUGUCUUACACAAUAAUUAUUACCAUUGUUGAAACAACCAAAUCAAAUGAAGCCAUCAACAGAGGGAUUCGAAAACUCAAAUCAUGUAUGUUAAAAAAAUAGAGAAAGUUAGAGCUGCAGAAUGGUUACAAAAAAAAAAAAAAGUGUUGGAAAAGGGAGAUAGAAUAGAAAGACAAAGACACGUGAGAAGAAAAGAGUGAAAGAAAUGUUAAAGAAUUCAGAAUAACCAUAAUGAAGACAAAUGUAUAUCUUUAAAGGAAAAGACAUUUCCUCAAACAUAUAAAUCCUAUUUCAAAUAUAAUUGAUUAACUAGUAAUACACUGACGUGUGUAGUAGUGACAUAAUUUAGUAAUAUUCUAAUAUUAUUGAAGAGCAAGGCUGGCCUCCUUAAAACUCAUGGAAUUUCGACAUUUGUCAAAUUCUGAUAAUAUUGACAAAAUUUCAACAAAAAAGAAUAGAAUAAAAUAAAAUAAAAAUGGACACGUGUCAAAAACACAUUAGUUAAAAAGAGGAUCUCUUUCGUAAUUUUAAAGAGCCAAACUUUUUUCUGCAUCAUACGCAUUCUUCUAUAUCUAUAUAUAUUAUCUAUAUAUAUAAAGCAAAAGGCAGAGAAUGGUGAAACAUUCAAAAUACCAGAAAAUGCCCUUGGUUAAUGCAAACAUUAAGAAUUCAAAUUAUUAAUUAAAUGAGGAUAAUAUGGUAAAUUCAACUUUUUCAUAUUUAAAAAAAUUAAAAGAAAAAGAAAAAGCAGAUAAUGGAUCCUAUUUUUAUGGAACACAACUACCCAUUAUCUUUUUUAAUUCUAAAAUAAAUUUACUUAUUUUUUUAAAAAAACCUCUUGCAAGCGCGGAAGCGCGUGCAGAGAGGCUAGUUAUAUAUAAAGCAAAAGGCAGAGAAUUGUGAAACAUUCAAAAUACCAGAAAAUGCCAUUUGUUAAUUCAAACAUUAAGAAUUGAAAUUAUUAAUUAAAUGAGGAUAAUAUCGUAAAUUCACAUUUUUUAAUAUUAAAAAAAUUAAAAUUAAAAACAAAAUAAGAUAAUAGGUCCUACUUUUAUGGAACAUAACUACCCUGUUAUUUUUUCUUAAUUCUAAAAAUAAAAAUAAAAAAGAAAAAGAAAACCAAUUGGCACAUGCGUAAGCAUGUUUCAAGGGGCUAGUAUAGUUAUAUACAUAAGAACUCCUUUGACACACAUAUGCAAAAAUAAUUUAUAAAAAACACAAAAAGAAAAAUUUCUUCACACACGUCACACAGUCACACUGCUAUUUGUAAAAAUAUAAAAAAUCUUAUUUAUCUGAUAAAAAGGAAAGUAUUUUCCUAUGCAUAAUACAAUAAGCCAAAAGGCCUUCACGGAAGCAAAAGGUUACAUGAUUCCAUAAUACUUGUAAAAUAUAUUAUUCUUGGUGUUAAUUAGGCUGUUAAUAGUUGGUUUGCAUGGUCGUUAGAUAGGAACCCAUCAAAUCAAAUCAAAUCGACUUCAAAGUUCAAUCUAACUAAUUAAUCUAACUAAUUAAUCCAACUAAUUAGUCUAACCAUAAUCAAUGUGCCGUCCCUUUUACUCAUUGUGAUAUGACCAUUCCUUUGGUACGAGCCUAUACACCAAAAUGAUAAAGUAGCAAGACUAGCUAGGUUGCCGAAGAAGAAAAGAUGAAUAAUGACUUCCACUUCACCCAAAAAACAACAAAAAAGAUGGUGACUUCCACAAAUUCAUUUUCGUAAACCUUGUACAAAUUUACAUUAGUCGUUUGACUUUAUAAAAAAGAGUUGUAGAUGUGACAAACUUAAAAGAAGUGAUAUAACUGUAUUGUAAUUUUCACUUUACAUAAUUAGUACCGCACGCUUGUUAGACUAUGAAUUAGAACCAUUGUGGAUAAGGACAGUAAAGAUUUAAAGAUAUCAUUCCACGUAGAUUAUGAUAAAAAGGUAACUUAAAGAUCUUCUAAAGAGAUUUGCAUUACAACAAAAUUAUUAUAGAACUAGGAAACCCUAACACUAGACUACGCGUGAUUAACAGUUCCUAAUUAAUCAACUGUCUACAUAUAUAUAUAUUUGUUAAAUGAUGUUAAACACAAAUUUACUAACAAAUCAACAGAGAUUUGUGAAUAGAACAGUAAAAGGUUGGGUGAUGGGGGGGGGGGGGGGCCUUUAGAAGCAGCAAUGGGUUGCCCAUCUGGAACCCUCUUAGGUUUAGUUGGUUUUAGUCAAUGAUAGCUGCUGGACACAGCUAUUAAAGGAAAGAUUAUUACUUGUAUAAUUGAGCACAUGAUUCAGUUUACCUUUCUAUUUAAUUUUCGUCAAUGAGUUUCUAUUUUUGGCUGAGGAAAAAAAAAAAGUAUUUCUAUCUUUCUUACCUUUCAAUUAAAGUGACCAACAAAUGAUUUGAACAUGCAUGGCCGCAGCUUGGUGUGGCAAAUCCAAGAAGCGUGGCCGCAACUUUAGGUUGGUUUGGUCCACUCUACUUCACACUUUUCUAGUUCUUUCAGUGUCAGGCGUAUAGCUUCAUGUUAUUGCACUACUUUUGGCAGAGAUUGUGACUCAAAUUAGCUAAAUCAUCUGCCAAAAAAUUAGCUUCUCUGUAAACAUGCUUGCAAGCAAGAGCAUAAAAUCCCAACUACUCUUUACCCAAGUUCCCAAAAAGCAUCAAGAAACUUUUCAUUGAUUCAUGUUCUUCUUUUUAUUUUAUUAGCUAUUAGAUUUCAUGAAUUGAAAUUCUUGAGUAUUCUACUUCUGGUUGAAUUAUGAAUUCUCCAACAUAUUAAAGCCAAUGAGCAAGGGGUUUAUAGUGAUUAAGAACAGUUAUUCCCGAAAUUCUGAGUUCGAAUCCCCAUCCCAUAUCACUUGUAUUAAAAAAAUAAAUAAAAAAUAAAAAGUCAAUAAAUCCUUUGAAAUUCACAAGCGAUAUAAUUGUAUGAAAUGUGUUGCAUCCUGAAAAGGGGCCCAUUGGCCUUGUACGUUGCUCUACCCACGCUGUAAUGGUUAUGUUUUGAUAGUUACAAACCAUGAACAUUGAAACCAACGGUGAUAUUUGUCUUGAAUUCUUUUAAUGUCAAAACCAAUGUUUCUAUAGAUUGAAUUGUCGUUGGCAUCGUCUAGUGAAUCAAAUCAAGAUUUUUCCAAUACCCUACAUCAAAUUACACCAAAAAAAGAAGAAGAGAGUAACAAGUUUGAGAAAUGAAAUGUUAUUUUUUUAAUACAAACGAAUGAGAGAGAGAGAGAGAGAGAGAGGUUUACGUAAAUAUUCAUUGGGUGAUUGAGAGUUUCAAACCUCUGAACUAUACCAUUGGUUUUGGGAGAUGAAAUAUAAAUCGAAGUCUUGAUGUAUAAGUUUUUUACAAGUUCUGAUUUGAAGUUUGAAAAACAAAAAACAAAAAUCAAUAUAAACAUACACCACAAAUGCAUAUAUAGUUCAUCGAAUAAAAACCUGACAAAAAAAUGUGAGAGAGUGAAAGCAAAUCAAAUCAGAAGCAAGCAAGCAAUAGCAAACACUCAACCCCAAAAAUAAUGGUGUCAUCUCUUUGUGAGACCAAAACUAUCUUCUUUGCUAUCUCUUAGUCAUGUGUCUCUGUAUUAAGGGUAUGUCUUAAUACCCCCAUUAUUUUUGCUGCGGGCCCCCACAAGGGCUCUUAAGCUUAAGAUAGUCCUAAUCACAAGUCGCUUCACGCAUGAUCUUAAAGUUUAAAACAAACAAACAAAACUCCUACUUCUCUACAUGUAUUUUCAAGUACAUUUUCAUCAACUUUAUAAUAUUCCUCUUCUUUUUCUUUUUUUCUUUCUUCUUUCUUUCUUCUUCAUGCUUUUGGUUGGAGGAGGCACUUUGAUUUGAACUGAUUGACAUGUAAACCAAACAAUACUCUUGUUUUUAAUUCCACAAUCUGUAUUUAUAUAUAUAUAUAUAUAUAUAUAUUCUAUAUAAGGCAUGCAUGAUGCAUUAGAUAAUUAUUGGUGUAAAUAAUGAUGGUCGUGGGAGUUGUUGUUGAAGGUGUGGGGAUUGUAUGGGGGGAUCCACAUGGUCGUGUGUUUACGGGAGAGGAGAGCGGCUUAACCAGUGAUAGCACAACCUAGCAUAAAAACUCUCUUCUAACGAGAAUAGCAUUGUUUUACUAUUUUCGACCAAUAAUGCAAUUAUAUGUGGAAAAAUUAUUCCAUCUGUCAUUGUGCUAUUAACCAAUGAUAGCAAAAAGUUGAAUAGUUAUAAUAACCCGUGAUGAACUUCUAAUUACUAAAUUAUUUAUGUAUAUAUAUUAUAUUGUCAUACUGUGAAUUUGAAUAAGACAUUACUGAUUGUUAUAUUUGUCCUAGUUAAUGUAGACAACUAGUCCACUAUGUGGUAGCUUUAAUUAGGCUUACUUGUAAAUUGCCUUUUAUCUUUGUUCUUUCCAUCUGGGUUAUAUAUGAUCUUUCUAAAAGUGGCCUGCAAAUGGAUAUCGUCUUUACAUGCACCUUAAUUUAGUAUCUAGUAAACUUGGAAAAUAGCUUUUGUUUGUGUAUCUGGAGGCAAGCAGCGUGGGAGCAUCAUUUCCAAGUUGUAUGGGAUGGUGUAAUGAAUCUAUCAACUAAUUAUUUAAUUAAGCUUUAAUCUACAAUUACAACAAGUUUUAAGCACGGUAUGUUGGGUAUCUAAUGAUGCUAGUAAGUAGUGCCAAGUGAUUACAAAACACAAAGUUGGAGACAAGAAGAAUAAAAAAAUUGUGAAAUUACCAAGAAUUAGUCCGUGGGUUGUACUUGUAUCCCAGAUGGUUUGCAGCACAUAAUGUUACAGUGAUUUAUUUAUUUUCCUUUUUAUACGAGUGAUAUAGGGGGAAGGGAAUUCGAAUACAAUACUUUGAGCGUAAAAAAACUGCUCUAACCACUUAAAUUACAAAACUACCUUGUAAUUUUAGUGUCACUUUUAAUAUUUCUCCCCCUUUUCCCAUUCCCUUAUUGAAGAAAAGUAUAUGAAAAACUAGAGCUGGUCUAUUAGCAAAUUGAACUUCCCUUGGAUCUGGCAGGACUGUUUGCUAGUUUAUAAAUAUACUUUUUUCCUCUAACAAAUGAGAAGAAAACAACUAAAACAUGCAUUUAGAAGUGAAGUUUAUCUACUUUUUAUAUCAGUAAAGUUACCUCAAAAGAGUGAGGAAAGCUUCUACUUGAAAGGAAACUUAUAUUAAUAUUUAGGCUGCAUAUACUGUUAGAAGAACAACACCACUUCUAUAGUUCUUAUUUAUUAUGUAGGUCCAGAAAAUUCUACCUAAGUUAAAUUAGGAGUUAAUUGAAAACAACUAUAAUCUCAUCAGCUAAAUAUAUAGGAUUCAAAAAUCAGCUCUUGAAUUGCAUAAGUUUCUAAAUUAUGCAACGAGUAGGAUGAGAGUCGAACUCUUUUCGAUGAUAAAUAGUUAACGCUUUUAUAAAAGAAAAUUCAUUUUCUUCAUCUGAAAUUUCAGUCUGCAGGACUGGCAGGACUUCUGCCAUUCUUAAUACAGAGAUCGAAUCGAGUACUAAUAUGCAACCUCCCACAAAAAGCAACAGGUUGGCAAAGAAGAUUGACUUUUGUGGUCAUUGGUCAACCUGUUAAAUCAUAAACAUGCCAUUAUAAAAAUAUAAUUAUUUAAUAAAUCAGUAAUUUUGUUCCUUGUGCUAUCUAAUCAACCAUCACUUAGCACUUAAAUAAUUGCAAAAACCUUGUUAUAAUUGUACAACGCCAUUGACAUGACCCCUUGUCCUUGGUGGUCACUGGUCUCCCUUGCUGCAAUUAUACCCUUCUCUCUGUGCUGCAGAUUCUCUCUUCCUCUUCCCACUGUUACCAACAGAACAAAAAAACUACAAGAUAUGCACAUGCAUGGAAGAAAAUGUCCAUAACUUUAUGAAAGAUUUCAAAGAUGAAAAACCCAACACCAUCAAACCAAGAUUUUUUUAGAAAAGUAUUUUAAUUUGGGCAAUGAAAAUUUGCACGAAUUAUAUGGUUUAGGAUUCAAAAGAAACCAGCAACCACCAAUCAAAUCCUUGUUUCUUAAGUACCAAACAAUGAACAAUUUUCUCCAUUGGAGAUCACCAGACUUCCAGUUGGGAAACAACUCAUUGAAGCACUAACAAACGGCCCCCACAGCUCGUUAUGUCCUCUGUGCAUGGAGCAAUAUUUCUUUGUUCCCCUAUCAUUUCAAAAUUUAUAUCAUAUCACAAAUUGUAUCUACCCAACACAGCAUGUGCCCUGCCCAUACCAUCAAUCCUCACUAGGCAUGUUGAUUUUUCUCACAUAUUGCAUGCAAUUUUGUUGCUUAUGAUAUUGGGUUUCGUUUUGCUUGAUUGAUUUUGCAUGAUUCAUGUCUUCUGUAGGCCACCCACAUAUGCAUAUAGUUCUUUUCUUUCAACAAGGCAACCACAUCAUUGAUUUGAAAUUUUGUAGUGUGAAUGCCUAUGCUCGGACAUGGACUCUUGCUCUAUUUAAGUGGUAGAGAUCCACUCUGCCGGGUGUCGGUUCUUUCUUAAACGAUGGACGUGUCAAGAAAAUUUCAUUUUUAUUUUAUUUGUUGACAAUUACUCAUGUCAAUAAAUAGAAUCAAAACUGAAGAAAAUUUCUCAACGCGAAAUAAAAGAAUUGGCAUUUCUGUCACGUGUAUAUGAUACUAAAACAGUUUUAAUUCUGUUGGAUCAUAUAGAGUUAAAAAUGGUGAUGUCCUUUCAAAUUAUGUUUAAAUUUAUGCAAGGACUUUAAAAUAGCCACUGCUUUCAACCACUUUGUACCAAAUUAAGGGCCCUCCCUCCCAGCUGGUUAAUCUACCAGCUCAUCCACAGCCCUUUUUCAAGGCUCAAAAUCUGCAGGUGUCUCUUACUUUAUUUAUAUAUUAAAAUUAAAAUAAAUUUUUUUAUUUUUAUAAAUAAAUAAAUAAAUAAAACCCUUCCCUCUAGCUCAGUUUUAAUGGUGACCGUUCUAAAGUUUACAUCACAAAUAUAGGAAACUACUUCAAAGUCCAUCCACGGAUAUUUUGUACCAACAGAUUUCAUUUCACAGCUUUUCUUUCGUUUGUGAAUUUUUCAUCAAGGGCAAGAGGGUUGGUUGAAUUCUUUUGUACUGUUAUUCCAAUAAUUGUUACCUAUCAGUAGAGGGUGUUUAUAUUUUUCUUGUUUGGCCAACUAAAAGAACAGUAUUUUAGAUUCGAAUCUAGGACAAAUUCUUGAAAUUAUAUUGAAUUUUCACUAUUGGACUGAGUGCAUAGGACAAUAAAAUAGUCACUUUUGGUAACUCAAAAAAAGAUAAAGAUAAAUGGAUUGGAUUGUUUUUUUUAUAGAUGGAAAAUGAAGAGAAUUGUCUCGAAAUUCAAAUUAUGGAGGGGACAAAUUUCUUGACGUUCCAAUUGAGUCACAUCAGUACACACACAGAUUGCAAGUGAAUUGUACCUCUAGUCGGUCAUGUUCAACAUCACCCCAAAAAAGGCAGGAAAACUUACUUGUAAUGGGGAUAGCACUGUUUUGCUAUCCCCGACUAAUAAUAUAAUGACACGUGAAAAAAUCAUCUCACGUUUGAUUGUGUUAUUUGUUGAAAAUUGCAAAAAACGUUCUCCUCGUUGCAUAAAAGUUUCUUUCCCAAAAAAAAAAGCUACGAGUAUUUUAAGAAAAAGGAAAAAAAGUUGUCAAAAUGUGUAGGGUUUAUUUCGUCAUUCAAGGAGAACACACACAAGGGAAAAAAGAAAAAGUAAAUUUAGGUUUUACCCAUAAAAAAACUUUCACUUUUGGAAAAAGCCAAAGCUUUUUCAAAAAAGACAGAAUAACCUCUCAACUUUCAAACCAAAGACAUGCAAAUGUAAAGGAUUUCUUAGGAAAUCAAAAAAUAAAUAAGGGCAAUUUUGUCCAUUUUUGCUUCUUUUAAAAAUUUUCUCUCUCCUUUGGGCUUUUCCAAAGUCUCCCAAAAGAAAAAGAAUAAGAAAAACCCACAUACCAAAUCCCAUUGGCUUCCAUCUGCAACAUAUUAAUAAAAUUCAAUUUGCCUAAAAAUUGGGAAAAUGGAAACAGUCUAAAGUAAAAUUUCAUGUGAGCUUGUUGAAUUGAAUGGUUUUUUUAAAGUCUUUCUGAGCUCAAUCAAAAUCUUUUUCGUUUUGUGCACCAAACUUCCCCUGGAUCUGACAGCAAGCAAUCUUAAUUGUAGAUUGACCCAAAAUUCACUGCAAUCUUAAUUGUCAAGUAAUCACCUUACUUAAGUUUUCAAUUGCCAAAAAGGCACACAAAUGAUCACCACCACCACCACCAGGUACGUGGGGGUGGGUGGCUAGAAAUUCCACCUGUUAAAAUGAAUAAACAGGCUGAUGAAUAUACUCCAGUAUUUCAGUUUUGUACAUGAGUAUAUACGUCCAUUAAAUCCAUAGAAAAUCAAGCCAUUGUUUCGACUGUAAAUUUGCAAAUAUUUAGAGAGGGACAAGACAAUCUUCAAUCUCACCUAAAAAAGGCAACUUGGAGAAUCUAAUGGCCAUGCACGGUGCUUAAUGGGCCAUAAUGUGUCACCGCCAAUGCAACCAGGCAGUAUUCAUAAGAACAAAUUAUGUUAAGGGUUCAAUCCAGCCAUUUUAAACAUUUUCAUCGAUCGAAUGACUAUUGUUGACCUACUCAUUACAACUCCUUAUAACCUACUCAUGAGUCAUUACAACCCCUUAUUAAAAUUUAGAACCUUACUCUAAAAAAGGGUUCUCUCUCUCAACACACAUAUAUAUAGAGAGCAGUCCCGAUCUCUUGGACCACAGGAGUCCAAGAGAUUGUGGUCACCUACUUUUAGAUAUUAAUCUAAUGAUUCAAAAAAGUUUUUUAAAAGGAGUGCAAAAGUGAGUGAACCGUUGAAUUUACAUCCAACGGUGAGUGACCACAAAUCUCUUGGACCCAUGUAGUCCAAGAGAUUAGGACUGAUAUAUAUAUAUAUAUAUAUAUAUACAAUUCUCUUCUAUUGAUGGAUCCUUCAAAUAAUUUUAUUUGAGGGACGCCCUUUAGGGUACCCUACAAUUUUUUUCCCAAUGAUCAAAACCAUCUAUUUUUUAGGACUUCAUUCAUAGAUCAUCCUUACAAAAAAUUAGACAAAUCGGAAACCGUUUCGACAUCCAAUUGUGUCUUACAAAAUCAAUGAACACGGUGCUUCAAGAAAAUACUAAAAUUUCAAUAACUCAAUUGAGUGGUCAAAUGAUAUCCGAUUCAAGUGAUUUUUUGUAGAGAUGAUUUUUGAAUGAGUAUCUACAAAAUAGACAGUUUGGAUUAGUGAAAUACAAUUCAGAGUGGAGCCUACAAGGAGUAUCCCUCAAAUAAGCUUAUUUGAGGGAUCCCUCAAUGGAAGUUCUCUGUGUAUAUAUAUAUAUAUAGAAAGAGAGAGAGAGAGAGAGAGAGAGAGAGAGAUUAAGAGAGAUCAUUUUGAUAUUUAAAAAAACCAAAAGAAACCGCAUGUGGGCUUAAUCCUUCUUUCGAUUUGAACUGUAUACUUUCAGUUUUUCCGCAAGAUUGUUCUUACGAAAAACCAACCAAUAAGAAAAUCAUUUAUUUAUUUAAUUAUGACAAAAUAAAUAGAUGAAUACAGUGAUUUCGAUAAAUAUAUCAAAUGUUUAAAUGAUUUCUCAUUUUUGAUUGUUUGCGUGAAUGAUUCUUAAAUAGGUAUACAAAAUUUAGAUAGUUUGUAUAUAAUCAUUGAACCACAUUGCCAAGUCACCCGUAUAAAGAAAACUUAGUAAAAUGUGUACAUAUAUAUUGCUUCUAUUGAGGGACUCUUCAAAUAAGCUUAUUUGAGAGACACCCUUAUAUGGCGUACUCCGCAUUGUAUUUCACUAAUCCAAACUGUCUAUUUUGUAGAUAUUCAUUCAAAAAUAAUCUUUAUAAAAAAUCACUUGAAUCCAAUAUCAUUUGACCACUCAAUUAAAUUAUUGAAAUUUUAGUACUUUCUUGAAGCACCAUGUUCAUUGAUUUAGUAUGACACAAUUAGAUGGUUUUAGAUUUGUCUAAUUUUUUGUAAGAAUUAUCUAUUAAUGAAAACCUAAAAAAUAGAUGGUUUGGAUCGUUAAAAAAAAUUUCGUAAGAUACCCUAAAGAGUGUCCCUUAAAUAAAAUUAUUUGAAAAAUCUCUUAAUAAAAGAAGACUAUAUAUAUAGAAAUUCUCCUAUGUGGAGAGCUUGGAACUCAUAACUUCCCCAGAAAUGCACAUUAAUCAUGAGCUGUGACUUCUGUUUGCUCAUAAAAGAGCUCCAAAACCAAUCAUGCAUAGAAAAAAACAAAAUCAGUGUAAUGUCAACAAUGCUUUUGCAAUAGAGGCCGAGUAAAAGAGAAAAAGAGGAAAAAAAAAAAAAAAAAAAAAAACCCCCUCCCGUGUGGCAAAAGGUAAAAUGAAGGAGCUAAAAACCAAAGGUGGCUCUGUUGGUGGGUUGGUUAGAGGACAAAACUCAAAAUGAUUUGUACUGUCUCCAUCUCUACAGCUCUUUUCCAACAUUGCAAAUAAAGUCGGCAAAUAUGACUCUGAAUCUGAAUCCCUUCUCUGCCCAGGUCCUCUGUUUAUGGCAGUGAAGGACUAACUGACACUUGGUCAUACACAAAAAAAUAAAAAAAAAUAAAAAAUGUAAAAAAAAUCUCUCUGUCCUCAGGUUUUUGGCUAUCCAAUGUGGCUCAGUGGUCCUCAGCUUUUUCAAAGAGAGACACCAAAUUUGAAGCUCAUCAUCAGCAGCAUGUGCCAAAUCAGUUCAAUGAUAGCAUGCAAGCCAGGGCCUCCCAAAAUGCUAAUUUGGGCAGAAAACCAGAGAGCCUCACAUGUUCACAUCACUUUAUUAUGGAGAUGAACUUGUGAACUGGCAUCUGUCAAAAUGGCUUUGAGGUCAUCAUCAUCAUCAUCAUCAUCAUCAUCAUCAUCUUUCUUCAUCCAUCAUCCAUUCCUUACUAGGGUUUCUGAUCAGCCAGAUAUUUUGUCCUCCUAAGUUGGGUCUAAAUCAACUGGACUUGACCGUUCGACGUUUCACAGCCUCCGUUCCACGUUUCAGAGCCUCAGGAUCUGAGGUUGGUCCAAGGUCCAUGGUAGAUAGAUAUUACAAGCACCAAAUGGUCAAGUAUAAUUCUGACACCCACAACAUGCCCAUACAACUAAAUUUGGCUAGGGAUUUGAAUGCAGACUUGAAAUUAUGACAGGCACAUAAUAAAUUAUCCAACUGGAAAUCUGGUUAUCAAUAGAAUUUCUGAAAUCAUAAAAAAUUUAAUCUACAAUGUCACAAAAUACAAGUUGGCUCCAAACAAAUUAUCUUCUUACCAUGGAAAUUGACAAUGACCUUUUUUACCUUGAGGGUUUUAGUUUCUUGUGAGCGUGGUGAUUAAAUAGAUAACCCACUUGAUUUUUGUAUCAAUCAUACAAGUGAUGGGAGAAAGUUUGAAAGCCUAAUAAUGUUGACUAGGUAGAAGGUAAAAGUAAAACAUAUCUUUCAACUUGUUCCACAUCUUCUAUCCAUUUGUAGCCAAUCCAGGCACAUGCUUUCAAUCUCACAAGGCAUCAAGAAGAACCUGUUCCUGCAUUGGACCACUUGUUCAGAUAAAAAGAAGAAAAAAGUUUGUGUUAGUUUUUCAUAAAAGCCGGUGUUUGUGGAUUCAAACAACAAUCAUGGAGAAGGAAAAAUCAAAAGCACACAUGUAGGUGACCCACAAACUGAAAAGAUCCAACUACAUUUCCAUAUUGUACACAGAACAAUCUCAUGGUCUCAAAGGAAAAGACCGUGAUUUCAAUGAUUAAAAUCCAUGGUAGGACCGUUCUCUUCUCUCAAGUAGUGGAUGAGUUACAUAACCUAAAUAAGUUCAAUAAACCAGCAUUUAAGACAAGGGCCAUCCUCAUGGCAACAGAACAAAAAGAUAAGACAAUGAAUUGAAUUUCAAAACACAUUUUAAAUUUCAUCAACAGGCACAACACUUGGAAGUAGGACCAACAAAACAUGAAAAGAAGAAUAUAUAAUGGCCAGGUUAGGAAGGGAAAUGAGGGGAGAAAUGGGUCCUAAAAGAGGAUUUAUGCCUUCUUCAAAAGUAAGAUCCUUUCACUUCCCUUGGGGUUAACAGGUUAUAUUCCACUUCUUAUCCCACCAUUUCCAUCUUGGAUGCAUGCUACUGCAAUUAUGCAAUCACCAAACUAUAACAAUAAUUGUCAGCACUAAUCUUCCAAGUUUUUGAUUGAUUUCUUGUUCAAAGAAAUGAAUAGCAGUCAAUCAAUCAGUCAAUCAACGAGAUCUUAUCGAAUAAAUCUUAUCACAAAAAUAAUUAAAGCACAUACUUUGUAGACGAUUGAGCAAACUAACUGUUAUUUUCCUCCAAACAGAGUUUUUUGAUUCUGAGACAAGCUAAAUUCCAAUGCAGUUGAAUCACAGAAAUACAGAGCUUAAUACAUUUGGAGAAAUACAGUGCUCAAUAGAUCCAGUGAAGCAUGGAAAAUACCACAGAAGAAGCACAGAAUUUGCCAGCAUAUAUUUCAUCAGCUGAACUCAAUAUAAUUCUCAGUACAUCUGGAUGCUACUGCUACUGCCCCUUGCAUAGAGUUGCGGAGGAAAUCUCCUCUACGUGGUGCAAGAAUAUCUUUACUUUCAUCAACUUUCCACAAUCAAAAUGACGUUAAUGGACGAUCAAUCCAGCCGUGCAGCACAGAAAAUAAAAUAAUCGUCGACAGCUAAACCAGUUCCAUAUCCAACGGGGGUCAUCACAAAGGAAAAGGAGUAUCCCAAACCUUGAGAAAUUAUUUUCACCACAUUGCCUUCGAGCCAGAACUGCGGUCAAAUAAAACAGAUUUCUGACAGCAGCAGAUUUCCACAGGAGAUUGUCAAUAUUCAGGCUGCUCCAGUCAGGAAAAGUCCUAAAAUUUACAGUUAAAAGCCAUCCAUCCAGUCAGUCAUUCAAUUGUAUAGAACCUAAUUUUUUGUACAGCAUGUAAAGUGCAUAAGGGAACAAAAUACUCAUAUUCAGCCAAAGAGAGAGAACUAAUUGACACCAGGUACCAGUCAGGGUAAAGCAUGCCCUCACUGCCAUAAAGCAAUUGGCAAGACUGAUAUAGUUCAAAGAAGGAAUACCAGACGGUAGUGGGAUUCAGAAUUACAUUUUUUGGGCUCGUUUCACUGAUCCAAGUGACAAUUUUUUAACAUCAUCCAAGCAGUAAUACAUUUUGUAAUUUCCAUUUGCAAUUUUUAAAUCCAAUCAAUAUAGACUGAACAGAAAAUUACCGCACCCCAACCCCAACCCCCAGCCCAAAUUUACAUUCCUACAAGUUUUACACCUUUAAAUGCUAACCAACCCAUCCUAAAGUUCCCUUAAGCAACUGCUGUCAAGAAUUUCCGUAGGCACUUUUUCUACUACAUCACCCAAUGAACUCAGCUAAUUUGCCCCUUAUUCCCUCCAUACAUUUUCAUCCCAUAUUUUCAUUCGUAAUCAUGACAUAUUAGGUCUCAAGCCCCUACACCAGGGGCAUAACAUUCAAGUCCCAGAGGCAUAAACAAACUACAAAUAUAUUUCAAUUGGAAUAAAAAAAUUUAAACACGAUAUUUUUUCUUUGGGGUGGGAGAGCUGGGGAGAAAGAAAAUACAGCAAUUUCCAAUAUGUAUACUACAUAAUAAAAGAGGCAUAUUGCUCUACCCAUCAUGAGAUUGUCAAUUACAUUUCCAUUCUAGAUAGCAGCACCUUAGCUUGUGAAAUUUGUUUUUUAUACAAAAGAGAUUGAAAGAUAUGUUUAGGCAGUGUGGGUUUCUUAUUAUCAAAUGGAAGCUUCAUUGAAAGUCUGUGUUGUCCUCGCAUCUUUAACUUGUUUAGUGGGGCUUUUGCUUGGGAAGAAAUGGGGCUGGUUUCUCAGAAUUAAAAGAUGGAGAGUCCAAAUGGGUUGUCAACUUUCUAUAUCACGAUAGAUGCAAAAAUGACUUCUUUAUCCACAAAUCCCAUGCCUUACAAUUGUCUGAGUAAUGAAGACACAACCCGCAAAAUUAUAGUACUGGUAUGGGAGUUGCCAUACAAGUAAUGUGUAGGCGCCUUCAAAAUUAUGGAGAGGAUGACAAGCAACGCAUAUGAAAGGCAACAAAUCCAUUGUUUCUCUUCUUUUUUCCUUACUUUUUUUUUUUUUCUGGUUAUAAAAAACAAGGAGGCUGAUCUGCUGCUUUCUAUUUGCAAGGAACAUUACCAAGUACUCCAGAUUGGAAAAAUAAAUAAGUCGGAUGCUAUAGAAAGUAGAAUUUGCAUGCUUUUAUAUUAGUGAAUACAUUGAACUUGAACAACUUGAUAAUUUUUACCUACAGUUUUGAUAUGGUCUGCAUAGCCACGCCUCAUUAGGAUAUAGAACUAGAAAGGGACUGAACCUGAAUCUCUUUUAAGUUUUAUCUUUACCAUUUUGAUAUGAUUUGUUAUUUUAUAACAAUGGUACCACAUGCAGUCCAACUAGUGUUGCUAUAAGGUGAAAGUGAGCGAGUGAACCCUCCCUCCCUAAACUCAUUCAAAAGCUUGGGUAGAAAAAUUGGCCAACUUGAUACAAGGUUCUAUAAACAGGUCAAACUGAACUUGAUACAAGGGUGCUACACAUAUAAAUAUUGUCGUUGCGCUGCCAUGGAAGUGGCUCUAAUACUACCACUGCCAUCAAUGCCAGCGUCGAUACCAAUGUCACCGACAGAACUAUGUCAUUAUCAACACUGACAACAGAACCACGCUGGAAAUAGACAUUGACAUAGGCACCACCAUCCUCAUACCAUAAUACUUGCAACCAUCACAACCACUGUAUCACAACUAUCACCAUUGUCAUGCACCAUCAUUAUUAAGCCCUGCCCACUAGUAUUGCCAUGACCACCACUACUGAACUAGCAUUGCCAACCUAACCAUGCUGGAAAUAGACAUUGACACAGGCACCACCAGCACCACCGAACCUUUACUACCUCCAUCACUAACAUCACCAAACAUGUAUUCAAAAACAUCUCACAAACUGGACUUUUCAUUAGAAUUGCCUCACUAAAAUUAUUAACCAAAAUUUUUGCUUAACUUCUAGUAUUCUAGUUCUAAAUUUAUGCAUUUGUAAUGUUACUUAGUAGUAACAAUUCGAAAUUCCAUAAUCAUCAAUACCACCAUCAUUGCUAAUAAACCCAUGUCACUAAACCUUUUAUUCAGUAGUAUGUACCCAAUUUAAGUUUUAUCAAGAAAGAUCACUAAAUAUUUCUGAACUAUAACCAAAUUUGUUAACUUUUAGCUCCAAAAUUUUAGCACUAUCAACUCAAUCUUCAACGUUAUACCAUUUUCUGGAUGCAUCAAACUUUGAAGAAAGCUCCAAUCUUGCCAGUAAAUCAUGAUCUCCAAUUCCAAACUCAUUCAAAUAAAUGUCUAAUUGCACAUCGAAUAUUGACUCUUAUUAAUAAAUGAACAAAACUUGUGGGAACAUUCAGCGUUCAUACCUUAAAACCUGAGGAAGCGAAACGCAACGAGACCCUCAAACAUGCCCAAACACGCCCCAGCGCAAACGUCGGUGACGAAAUGCCUGCCCAGCACAAUCCUAGAGAAGGAGGUGGCGUAGGCCCAGGUCCAAGCAACCAAGACCAAAACACUAAUGGCGCUGACGGGGUCCGCGCCGAUCCAGCGGUCAAUGAACGGAGACGUUGGCCGGAGGAGCGCGAGGGCAUCGGCGAGAGCUGCGGCGGAGAGGUGGAGAAGGGCGGCGACGAAGCAGACCCUGGAGGCGUGUCCGCUGGGGAAGGAGAAGUGGUCGACCGAAACGGCGACGUUCAUGUUCUUGUUGUAGAGAGGGCGGGCGCGGCGGAAGAGGAGCUUGAUUAGGCCGAUGAGGGCGAGGUCGAGGAGGAGGCCGAGGAUGAGCGGGGAGAGGAGAGGGCGGAGGAUUUGAAUUGGGCUUAGGCUUGCGCCUGGGCCUGGGAUUUGGAUUGGGGAUGGGGUUAGGGUUAGGGUUGGGGCGAGGAGGAGGGAGAGGGAGAGGGGAAAGAAGAAGCGGAAGUCGGCGGAGAUUUCGAGGAGGAGGAGGAUGAAGUGGGGAAGGAAAGGUUUGGCGAGGACAUGGAGACGUUGGGAGAGCGUCGUGUCGAGAGUUACUAAGCGGCGGUGGAGUGGCGGCCGCGGCGGUGGCUGUGGCGGUUUGGUGGUGCUCUUGGAUUUGGGUGGUGGCGAUGGCUCCAUUGCUGUAGUGUCAGUCAUUGGCCGUUGGGUUUUGACAGUUGAGAACUAACCAACGGUUAGUUAAAGGGUGAGUUUGGCGGGCCAGAUUUGGAUUUAAAGAAGGUUUUUUUCUGAAUUCAUGGCCCAUAGAAACACAUUUGGGUGACUGAAAAAUAAUUUUGAAAAUAAACAUUGGCCCAGUAUUAGAGGAUUGUCGGCCGAGCUUGCAACCCUAGUGGGGCUUUGAGGUGCUGGAACAUUGGCCCAGUAUUAGCGGCUUGGGUUUGGGAUGCCUAUCUAUUGGCCCGCCAUUCCAAGCCAAGGGUUGAACCUUGUGGCUCGAGCGAAGGCUCUGGGUCACAGAGUUUCUAAAGAGGAGGGAACCGGAUAAGGUUGGCUUCACAAAGCAACAACUACCUCCCGCUCUUGGCCGUGGAAGGAUUACAGAUCAGUGUCACAUGGAUCCACCAUGGCCCUCUAUAUUGUCCCAAUUGAACUAAAAUCUUUUACAAGUAACUAACGGAGUCUAACUCAAUGAAAAUAAUAUUGACUUGUAGACUAAUAGUCUCAGUUUCGAACUCCAGUCUUUGAUAGCUUAGUAGUGUGUGUGUGUGUGAAAAACCACUCCCCCUUAUAAUUUAGACUAUCGCUUGUAUUAAUAAAAUAAAAUAAAAACCAACUAGUUAUUAAUUUAAUGAUAUUUUUUCACAUAACAUUAGCACUCUCCUAGAUAAAGUUAUAGUCAAUCAUGAAUGAUUGUUGUCUCAUUAAAGAAAUGUGGAUUGAGUCAGUCGAUCUUAUUUCGGUAUGGCUAACUUUUAUCUUGUUUCGAUUAGGCACUUAACUCAUUAAAACUGAUUGAAUCAAACUGACGUACUCUGAUUUGGUACCUUUUUUUUUUGUUGUCAAAAUCGAUGAUAAACCGAACCAAUUCUCUCAUCGGUUUUUAAAAAUCAAAAUUGGGCGAGUUCAUCAAACCGAAGAGCCUCUAAUAUACGGCGGUUCAAUGUCGGUUUUCCGAGAUCACUUACCUAUGGCGUUGGCUCAGUGGCCUAUUCGACCUAGCCGGUUUCAUUUUUCCAUGGCCAAGGGUCACAAUAUGGACCAAAAUCUUGACCAGGCCACUGAUGAUCCAUCUGGAGUCUAUAGGCCAAUAUUACUGCUGCAUGCCCGUGCACUCAUAAAAUUUUGAAUUUUUGAAAGACAUCGGAAAAAAUGCAAGACACCAGGAAAACUGGUAAUGAAAUAAUAACUUCCAUAGUAGGAGAAAAUGCAAUUAUACUUUUUGUCAUCGUGAAGAAGGAACCAAUUCAAAUUAUUUAUCAAUUGGGAUAAAACAAGACAAAAAAUGAAUCAAUAAUGGUUAGGAUUUUGGAAGAGUAAUAGUUUUAAAAUCUAUUGCAUGAUAAUUUGACCCUAGUUAUGGAGAACUGGAGAAGAUGAUAGGCCAAAAGUCACCUUAAAAUAUGGAGAAAUUGCAGCACAUAAAAUUCCAAAAACGUUAAUUAUUGAGCUUGAAUCAUGUGCAUUGCCUAUAUAUAUAGUUAUUUUCUGAUUCGGAUGUCUGUACGUUAUUAUCGUGCGGAUGCUAUUGUAAACAUGCAGGAAAAUAAGAAGGAUUAAUACAAAAUACAUGACGUUUGCACGAUAAUAACAUCUGAAUAUCCGCAUUGGAGAAUUUAUAUAUAUAUAUAUAUAUAUGCGCCCAUGCUAAUGCUAUAGUCCCUAUGGUUAUGGAUGUCUGCAAAUUGGCCAUCUUCUUUUUCCCAUUGGACUUUGACUUGAAACCUAUUAUUCUAUUGUAUACUUCAAUCAAAAACAAUGUCAUAAUGUCUCAUUAGGCUUAACAAAUGUUUAAAUAUAGACAUAAUUUGUAUGCACACAAAAUCGUGCAAUGAACAUUAUUCGUAGGGUUUUUUUUUUUUUUUUCCUGGCUUCAUAACAAUGGCCUUUGAAACCAAUGAUUGUCCAUGGAAUGAUUCUGAGCCUCAUUUAUUCACGCUGAGUGAGCAACUCUCAUGUUAUGUCCAAUAUCCCAAGUAUAUGUUAUUUGCAAUAGCUCAUUAACAAUGUAUGAGGUUCUUGGGUGAGUAGAAAUACAACACUCACCAACUUUAACCAAUCAACCAUACUCAAGAGAAGAAUCCUAAGUCAUAUUCAACAAGUUGAAUCUUUUACAAGUGAUAGGUCAUGAGUGAGUACGUAAGGCCAAGUCCAUGUCCAUACAAGAUUGGCAAGCUGAGGCCAUUUUCAAGGCUCACGGGCAAGUCUUUGUCUAGAUCUCAACCAUCAGAAAAAUCCAACACAUAUUGGCAAUUGAAGGCAGAUCAAAGGUGAAUAUCAAGGAAGUUAAAUCUCCAACAGCAGGCCAUAGACAGGACCACCAAAUUCUGGGUCCAAACCAAACCCUCUCUCUCUCUCUCUCUCUCUCUCUCUUUGCCAUCCUUAAUUACUGACAAUGCUUAUCUGAUCAUAUUUCAUCCAUUUCUCAAAGCUCUUGUUGGCUCUAGGGCAGCCCAACUCCUUGCCAAAAUGUUGCAUUUGUUUGAUUCAAUAAUGAUCCGAGAAUCACUCUCCACCCGACAUUGUGUAGUUAUGAUCCUGCAUCAUCAUCAUCAUCAUCCUGGCCUUACCCACUGUCCUAAUUUUUAUCAUUUUGAAUUAUAGAUUAGUUAAAUAAAACUUCUGAUUGGUUUAGGCGAAGCAAUUAUAACCUGCAUCAUGGCAAAAUAUAUAGCCUAAUACAUAAUGAUUGAAGAGAUCAAAAGAUUGUGAGUGGGGUGAGGUGGGUCAAAUAUGCUAAGAAGUCUCUAGUGUACAUUUGGAUAUAAAAGGUUUUCACAUGUAUAGUUCUUGAGAAAUAGGAUGCCAAUGGGACAAGUCCCAUUCCCAAGCUGCAUUGAUGGGAGAUUUAAAUGAUGUUCGAGAUCAAGGUGUAUAAGAAUUUGUGCACGUAUUAAAUAAAGCAAGGAGAGAUUCAGGAGAGAUGGAUUUUUUUAUCUCCAAAACCACAACAUCGCAUUGAUGUUUCCAUGACCCAAAGUUUGGUCAAAAGAUAUGCCAUUAAAACCCUUAAUUAGGGUAAGAGAAAGACACAUCUCCCUUUGAAAAGCCAAGGUCUUCCCUUUUCCUUUUAUUAUUUUCUUUUGCUCUCAUCAUUGCUUCUUUCUCCAUAGAACUCUCUUUGCUUGCUCUUGUUGAUAACUCUCCAUAAAUUGUGUCACCUACCUCAAUACCUUGCUUAGCUUUGUAGUAAGACGAAGCUUUUAUGUUUUUUUUCUUCCUUAUUAAACAAAAAGACUCAACCAUAUAAAACCCUAAAAUGUGUGUUUUUUUAAAGAAAAAAGUAUUACAAAGAAAAUUUGUGACGGAUCUGAAGACCAUGCGAAUCAAAGUUAACUCUUUAACUAAUAUCCACGCGAAGAAGAUUCGCGACGGAUUUGAAACCAAAUAGGAUGUGAAGACCCUAUCAGUAUAAUUUCCCUUAUUGACUAAGGAAUCUACUACUAUAUUAACUUCCCGAUAAAUAUGCUGAAAAAUAAAACACUAAAAUCUAAACCUAAUUUGAAAGAUAGCAAACCAAAAUAGAAAAAAACAAUUGAAAUUUUGGAGGUCCAACUCCAAACCAAAUACACAGCACGCUUUGGAUAUAACGCAGUUCCCGGGGAUGGCUUCAAAAACAGGCGUGAGAGCAAAGGCUGUCAAAACUCCACAACCAUAUGGUUUGCUUUUUGCACUCCUAAACCAUGCACUUCUUUUAACUAAUAACACCAUACAGAAUCUCAUAAUCACCCUAUCAUAAAAAGCACAAAGAAGAUGAGUUUAAUUCGAAUUUUGCCCAUUUUGCCCAAAUGGGUCGUCCAUAAUUAACGAUUUCUCAAGGUUUUUGGACCAUUUGGUGUUUAGGAUGCCUUAAUAUAAUCAUGUUUUAGUUGAUUAAGCUUUGAUUAUCUCAGUAAAAUUGUCUCCUUGUGUAGCUACAAAAGGCCAUUAUCCCAAUGAGCACAAAACUUUGUGCAAAACCCCAACUUGAUUAGUGCCUAAUUUGCCAACGGGUUAGCUAUAGCUACAGUACAAAAAAGAUAAAUAAAAUAAAUAAAAAACUUGUGGAGAAGUUGUCGUUUUACUAGUUUAAAUUUCAGGGCUUUUUUAGAUGCACUCUCUGCCAGUUUCCAUUCUCUUCCUAGUUUCUAUUCUUCUAUUCUAUUCCCACUUCAAACUCCUAUAAAAGAUUCCACCUCAUUCUGUCCCCCUUACUCUUUUACAAUAUGGAAUUUGGAAAAUAUAUUAAAAUUAUACAAUAAUCUCUUUGCAACUUGCAUCUUCAAAUCAAUUAUCAAUUAUAAUUUAAAAAAAUUUGCAUUCUAUAUACUAUGCCAACUAUGAGUAUCCUUAAUUAACAUUUUUAUACAAGCGAUAAAAUUUUAAACUAAUCAAAAUUAUAGAUAGGGGGAUUCAAACUCGAGUUGGAGAGUGGGAAACACAUUUGCUAAACAACUUGGUUAGGUCUAUAUCUGCUUAUGUGGCAUAAAUUAAUCCUUCAAUCAAGCGCUCCAGUUAUAAUUCUUGAACAAUACAAGAUUUAUUUUAUUUUAUUUUUCCUGAUGAGCCCUUUGUCUGCAAGUGUGAAGAGGGGGAGAAAAAACCAAGGGAAGGAAAAAUUAGGGUUCAGAAACCCCACCAAGAAAUGUGAAAUGGUUAUUAUUUCUUUGAUUUCAAGGUGCAAGAAAGUCAUAAAGCUAUCUGAGGGUUAGAUAUGUCAGAGCAAGAAAGCCUUUAUUAGAAAAGGACUAGACUAGAUUAGGUACUUACCAACUAAAUGUGUAUUUUCAAAUGAAUGCAAAUAAAGUCCCUGUUUAUGGAGAUCAGUUGGGUCAUUGAUACUAAUUAACUUGAUGGGUUUGCAACUGAUUAUCAUCCACUUCUUUUUUAGUGACUAUAAUUCAAAUUUCAGAAGGAAAAAGAAAAAAGAAAAAAAGAAGAAAAGAAAAGAAGAAAUGUAUUUUGCUUUUACCAAAGGUUUAGAUUUGAGUAGUAGUUUCUUUCAAGGUCAUCAUUGUAGUAUAGCAGGUCUAGUGCACUGCAUUUCAAUUUUCAAAAUCAUGGAGAGAGGGCCAAAAAGAUGGGAAAAUAGAGAGGUUUUUGAAUUGUUUUUUACCCAUCCACAUUUUGAUUUCGACAAACUGGUGCUGAAUCACUUAUUAUAUUCGUAUUCAUGUGAGUCGAAUAGAAGACCUACUACUUAAUUAGGUGGACAAAACUACCUCUAGCUUAGACACCGAUUAUGAAACAAAAAUAAAAGUUGAAUAUGAUACAAUGUGAUUAGAAAUGAGCAAACAACACAUUUAAAUGUUUUCAAACGGCAAAAAAUAAAAGCACUUAAUUAGGUUUUAAACCUCUCAUUCCACAAGUAAGCUAAAUAAAAAGCAAUAAAUUAAGAAAAAAAUUCAAAAGCUAAAUAAAAAUGAAAUGUUUUCGAAAUCAUGAUGAAGAAGAUGACCAAAUGUAACCCCAACCAAAUGCAAAGCUAAUUAAUCAUGUACGUCCACCAAACUCCCAUCUCCCACAUAAAAUUCAAAUACCACAAGAACCAGAGUAACUAGACACAUCUCUCUCGACCUCCCUGUUUUGUCCCAUCAAAUUAAACCCAUUUAUGGUGACAUUUGUUUUCUUUGAGCAGCAUGCUUCCUCUCUCAUGAAGAGACUGAGAAAUCCACGUGGGUAAUUCCAAAAUCCUCAGAAGGGUAGUCCAGUCAUUUCACACCCGGUCACGUAUCCGGUUGAAAGUUAGAAACCCCCCCUCCCCCCAUUUAAUAAACGCGCCAUAUCUCUCUCCUCCUCCAUUUCAUUCUUUUCUUUUCUCCCAAGACAAAUGAAGAAAACCAGAAACAGAGAAGAAAAAGAAGAAGAAGAAUAAGAGAGCUCAGCACUGAACAAACAAACCCAUUCAAACCCUAACCCAGAAAACACAGCACCGUGUCGUUUUGAGUUCCGUACAAUAAUGGCGAGUGGGUGGGUGAAGUCGUUGCAGUGCAAAUCCAGAGCAUUCGAAGACGUUUACCACCCGACCCCGAAAAAUCUCAUGAACAGCGCGAGUUGCAGACAAAGCGUUCAGAAUAUCAAAGACGUCAUCGACACCACAAAACACUACAAGCCCAGAAAGCUCAAGCCGCUACCGCCGGCGGGUCCACCACGUCCGCCAUCCAAACGACCCGACCCAAAAUCCCAACUACCCACCAAACCGGAACCCGAUUCAAGCCCGGGUCAGCAAACCCGAACCCGACCCAAGCGACCCCACGACCCGUUUCUACCGGCCCUGACCGAGCUCCCGGAGGGCCACCCUUCGCGCAACGUCGUGGAGAUUAUCUUCCACACCAGCUGGAGCCCCAAGGCGUUUUCGGGUCGGAUCGACAUGAUAUUCAAGGUGCAGAACGGGUCGAAGACCGUUGCCCGGUUCGAGGAGUACAGGGAGAGCGUGAAGGCGCGGUGCCGGGCCGGGUCCAAAGGCGGCGCCCAGUGCGAGGAGGAGAAUGUGCGGUGCGUCGCUGACGGAAACGAGGUCAUGCGGUUCCACUGCCUGGGGCCCACCACCUCGGGCUUCGGGGUCUACGACACGUGCGGUGGCGCGUGGGGGUUUCAUGGAGGCAAGGGCAAAGCGAUUUGCACGUUCUCUGGUAGCGGCGUGGCCCACGAGAAUGCGGGUGCAGGUGGUUCCAGGGGCCGGAGGGCGAUGCUGGUUUGCCGGGUCGUUGCGGGUCGGGUCUCGAAGCAGCUGGAGCUCGAGUCGUUGUUAGAUGGCCGGGUCGGGUUUGGGUUCGACUCGGUGAGUGGGGACAACGGCGAGUUGCUAGUGUUUGACUCACGCGCGGUGUUGCCUUGCUUUCUUAUCAUCUAUAAACUGUAAAAUACAAUGUUUCUUUCAUCCUUUUUUUUAUCUUUUUUCCGUUUUUUUUAAUUUUUAAAAUUUGUCCUGUUAUAUAUUUUUGUGAGGUUUUGAUCACAUCUUGUUCUUGCAUUUAUCAACUCAAUUUUUUUUUCUUCUUUUGUUUUUUUGGAUAUUUUGGUGUGAUUAUUGAAAAAAAAAAAAUUGAGUUGAUAAAUGCUUAAUUAUCCAAUUUGCCGUUUUUAUUCUUUUAUGAUUAAUGCUACGUCUCAGUUUAACUGUUUCACUUACGGAAUUAAUGGAUUUUAUUCCGUUAAGUCAUUCAAAACUUCACUAGAGAGCUUUCACAUGUUAGGUUAGUUUGUUUGGUAAUAAUGUUAGUAAAAUGAUUUUCUAAUAUAUGAUAAGGAAAUUCGAACUUUAGUGCAAGGGACGAGCAAAUUGCUGCCCAACCCAUAUCUACCAUGAGAUGAUGUUAAUCACAAUUCACAAUAACAAUAUAAUCAUCGAAAUGUUUUCCAAAUUUUAAGAAUGGUUAAAAAUUGGCUUUUUUUGAAAAAAAAAAAAUACAAAACGAAAUUGGGAAAUGAGGUUAUCAAAACUUAACUACUUGUGCAAUAAUUCAUUUACAUGUAGUUUUAAUUCUAUGACAAAGUAUAGAGUGAGCACUUAAUCUAGUCUUAUAACAGUCACCAAGAAACAUAAUGAUGAUGCUUAUGGACUAAGAGUGUUACCUGCACUAGUAAACAAUAAAAUUUGUUAUUCUAAUUAUGAUGGCAAUCUGCUCCCAAAAUAUAUAUACUGAUGGCAAUGAAAAUCUGCUCUAGAAAUGUAACUUAUAGUCAUAUAAUUUUUUUUGACUCACCAUAUUCAUAAAAAAUUUCAGUAAUAAAUUUUUCAUUAGACAUAAUUACAAUUGUCAUCCAUAAAUUUACAAUAUCUACUUCAAGAAACACUUAUAUUUAGAGAAGAAGAUUUCAUAAUAACAAAAGUUAGUUGGGAAUACUCGAACAAUGUUAUAUUCUAAUCCAAAUUCAUUGGUAAUGAUUGUAGACAAAGCAUGCAUUCAAAACUUAGCAAAUUAGAUCAGUCUCUAUUUUUCUUUUUCUUUUUUAUAGAGAUGCUAUCCUAUUCAAGGGCAUCUUAUAACAUAUAACUGAUUACAACUUCAGAACUAAGUGCUUUUUUUACACAAAAGCGAUAGGAUUCAAUUGAUUAUGAGGUAUGAAACAAAUGCAAAAAUUGGGCUAUAUCCUAGAGGAUUAGGCGAGUAUCUCUACAACAAAUGGGCGUAUGGUCGUCAGACAACAUAAGUAGCCUACUGCCUCCAUUAGAGCACCCAACCUCCCCUCCCCCACAAUGGUCGUCAGACAACAUAAGUAGCCUACUCUUGCCUCCAUUAGAGCACCCAACCACCCACCCACACCAAACCCAACCCCCCUCCCCCUCUUCACAAAUCCUCAUAGAAUCAUGCCCAUAAAAACUACUUAUUACAAUCCUUAAAUAAAGGGAGCUGAUUUUCCCACUCUUCUUUUGUCCACUUACACUCCCUUUGUUAAAAAUUGUAUGUUCCCACUCAUUUUUUGUUCACUUACACUCCCUUUUUUUGUUAUAAUAAAAACUAUUAAAAAAACAAAAGGGAGUAAGUGGACAAAAGGGGAGUGAGAAAAUUACCACCCUAAAUAAAACAUCAAUAAGAAAAUCUGAUGGUUCCUCAAACUAGUUAAGUAUAAGUUCUGAGCAAUUUUGACCUCUUUGGGCUACAUGCUCUAGAGGCCCCGUUUAGUUCAAGGUUUAGGAGUUUGGGAAUAAGUUUGAAAUUGUAUUCCUAUGUUUGGCAAGUGCACUCUUAGGAAUGCAAUUAUGAACUUCCCAUGUAGCGGGAAUUUCAUACCCUUGGCCGAGCUUGGGAAAAUUCCCCCCCCCCCCCACUUGAGAAAGCAUUUAAUGCAAAUUUUUAUGACUAACUUACUCCUAUUCUAUUUUUAAAAUACCAUGUUUUACCCUUAGAAAAACUCUUUAAAUUUCUUUCUUUGUAAUUUAAAAAAAAAAGGUUUAAGUGUAUUGUUGGAAAACUGAAUAAUACUGCACAAAUAAAAAAUGGGAAUGGGAUAAAAUGGCCUUUCUUGAUCAUCAUUUCCGAAUGUUUUGAAAUUUGGGAAUGAACAUCCUCCAUUCCCAUAUCAUGGGAUUAGACAUGGGAAGUUCAAUCUGCGAACCAAAUAAGCACUAGAGGUUUUGUCUUGUAAUUUUCUUUUUUGCAUAAAAAAAAUCAGCAAUUAUAAUUUUACAUUGCUUUCAAAAUUUUAUUGUCUUACUACAAAUCAAAACUAGAGAACUUAAGAGGUUGUUUGAUAAACAUUUUAUUUUCAUUUUUUUUUAAAAAUUGAAAACUGAAAACAUGUUUGGUAACAUAUUUGUUUUUAAGUUUAAAAAAAAGUGAAAUCUAGUUUUUAGAAUCACCCUUAUUUUUUUAAAACAACUUGAAAGUGUUUUCAUUUUUAUUUGUGCACAUUUUUCAUUCACUAAUUUUACAUCACCGCACAUGAAAUGCACUCCAAUUAUCAAAACUCAGUAUUUGGGGCCUCUGGAUUGGACCCGGCCACUUGAUUCUUGCAUUCGUCUGUGGACCUAGCCCAAGCCUCGAGACCUCCAAAUCCAAAAUUCAUUGAAAAAUACUACGAACUCUUUGUAACAUGUGCUUUCAUUUUAUGAUCUCAAAUUCACAACUUGACCCCAAAAAAUUUCAUUUCCAUGUUCGAAAUAAAAUAUAAAACUGAAAACUGAAAUCUGUUACUAAACAACUUUUGUUCAAUUUUCAUUUUUUUUAUAUAAAAAAAAACUAAAAUUAGUUACCAAACAAGUUUUUAAUUUUUAAAAAAUUAAAACGAAAAACAGAAAUGACUAUCAAACGGGCCUGUGUCGGUGGAAAACAUAUUCACCAGCAACAUGCAUGCAAGUCUCAACAUACUAUUUAUUCUACAUACACAUCCUAAGAGAGAGGCUAUUAUAUAUAUAUAUAUAUAUAUAUAUAUAUAUAUCCGGCGCAUAUGAUAUUUUUGCAGUAGGAUUGUAAAGAUAGAAAUCCCACUGCACCUAUAAGCAAACACUUAAUGUCAAUACCAAAAUUUUCCAGAUUUGAUUACAAGUGUUAGAAACUGAAAAGACAAGCAAAUGAAUAGCAUAGAUGUGUUUUUAUUCCAUUAGAAGAAGUGGUAGCUGUGUUGUUAUGUUUUAAAUUUCUGUUAUUUGGUAAGAGGCUUUACAUUUGGUGGUGUUGUUGAAGGAUGAAGAGAAAUCCAAUAAAAGAAAUUUAGGAUGAUCAGUAGAAGUCAGUAGGGUUUCUUGGGUCCAUAGAUGUCCUUCUCAACUGCCCAAGCUUUUGGUUAAUUUGGCAAAGUACAGCGCAAGUCACGCAACUGCUGCUAAAACAACACUUGUCUUAGGAGAAAAUGAAAGGCUUGACAAGGGUGGUGUAUGGUCACAAUCUAUGAUGUAAACCUUGUGACCUAUAAAAUGUAAUUCUACUUACCAAAAAACUCUCUUGCCCCCAUCCUUACGUAUGUUUUCAAAGUCAAGCAAAAUAAAAUAUUCCAUCUACUAAAACACAUUGAUUCUGUAUUCAAAAGAGUUGAAAGAUUCUCUAUGGAAGAGAGCAAAAAACAAAUGAGAAUUUGCCUUGAUGUAAUUUGACUUGGACCAGGGUGUUCCUAUUUGCAUUGGGCCAUGGUGACAUAUUGGUUUACUGGAGACCACAUAUUUUAAGUGGCCCACGAGAAAACAUGCUCAGUUCAUACAAAGUUGAACACAAUAACUUUUGAUCAAGUGAUGAGUGAUGGAUCAAGCUAACAACAUUACUACAGCUGGAUUGGGAAUUCAGAUAUGUUGAACUUGUAUGAACCUCAACCUGAGUUUGAUCAUAAAUUCUCAAAUCAAGGUCAAACUCCCUCUAGCUUACCCACUCAGAUUUCAAGUUUGCUUCAAGUGCAAGAAUCACUAAGAAACAAUGCCUAUAUAUACGGCUCUGAACUGAGAGAAACAAAAUGAGGGGGUUACAUAAAAUUGAGUUCAUGGAAAAACAAAGAAAAUGAGUCCUGCAGAAGUUUUCUCAAAUCGAACGGUUUCCAUAAUUCAAUGGUCUAUGCUCUACUAGUACUAGCUAAAAUGAGGGGUCUCAGCAACCAAGGUUUAUCAAAUUUCAUUAAUCAUUGAAACAGGGAAAAGGGAAUGGCUGGGGUGAAUCAAAUCAGAUUCCGGAUAUGGGAGUAGCCCAGAAUGUGCAUGUUCCUCAUGCAGCACCGACACAGAUGAAUCAUAUAGUCUUUUGCCCGGAUCAGUGGUAUUCAACUAGUACAUACAAUGGCUUGCCGUUCAAUCGCACACGACCCUGCAACAUCAGGAAGCAUGAAGUCACUGGCAAUGGUGACACAAAACAUAGCAAUGCAGAAGGGCCAUAGGGUUCUUUCUUUCAUAUUGUAAUCAUAAAACUGAGGAAAGCCGAGAGCUAAACCAACUCACCUGUAAAUCUGGUAAUUCAAUUACACAUGCACAUUCAACUACUUCUGCUCCAACACGUUCUGAGAGGAAACAUUUAAUUUUACCAAAUCAGCACUAAGGUCUUACAAGCAUCCACAAAUUUAAAGUAUGUUGAAAUUUGCCAAGGAACAAAGCAAGCAAUCCAGAAAUCCUGCCUCCAAAUUUAAUACAACAAUUAGUUGAUUAAACCAAAGAGAAUUUUGACGAAUAUAACAUGCAUACUUAAUAACCUAGAUGACAAAAUAGAACUUCAAAGAAUCAAAAGACUACAAUUCAGUAAGUUUUCUCAGAAUUUAGACUCUGAUCACUUCUAACUUCUAACUAAGCAAAAUAUCAUGAACCAAAAAAGUACUAAAUGAAAAUUAUGCUUUUCAAGAAAAAAGCCAAACAUUUGAAACAAAAAAACAGAAUAGAUAUUUAAUUUGAGCACAGCUUGGACAUCUGAACUGAAAUAUGAACUUGACACAGAUCACCAAUGGAUGCACCGGUGACUAGUCCCAUAUAAAACAUGAAUUCUUCCAAUAUUUUAACCAACAACUUGUUUAUAAUACUAAAACAAGUGUAAUUACCCAAUAAAUUCAUUGCAGCACAGAGUGUGCCUCCUGUGGCUAUUAAAUCAUCAACCACCAGAGCUCGCUCACCAAGUUCUACUGCUCCAACAUGCAUCUCAAGACGGUCCCUUCCAUAUUCCAAAGUGUACUCUUCAAAAAUAACAUCUCCUGCCACCAUGGAAAAGUUUUUCAGCAAUCCUAAGAUUAGUCACAACUUCAAAGAUGAGACUUAAAAAUCUCAAGAGGAAAAAGAGAUUCAAAACUAUACGUAAGACAGCCCUCUUAAAUGUGGUUCCCAAGGCACAUAACUGCAUGUCAGAUAUUAGAACAUUAAAAGUUAAAAAUAUAUAAGUUCCGAAGUAUCAGGAGCAUCAUUAACUAUCUGGACAGUAUACAGCCCUAAAAAAAAAUAAAAAAACACAGCUCUGCAGUUCACUGAAGAAAUAAUCACUAGAUAAAUACGGCAUGGUGGAAGACAUGCAAGGACUGGCGAGGACAGAAACAGAUAUAUUUUAAAGCCAGAAUUGGACAACAAAACCACACUAGAAGCAUGUAACAUCAUAAAUUAUCAAGGACUCAUAGUUCAUAUCAAGGCAGUUCCAACUUCCAAGCAGUGUCUUCAAGCCAUCAUUCAUCAAGGGCCCAAUUCAUUGGCAUUAUAAUUACAUCCUCUUUUACACAAAGGAUACACUGGAGAAAUAAUAUCCCUUUAAAUGGCGGUCUAUAAUAUGCUACUCAAGCAGAACUGUCUUGUACUUGAUCAGAAAGUCGGUAUGUGGCAUCCGUAUGUCAUAUGCGAUUACCGUUUGAAGAUAACUUUUACUGCAGACCAUCACAACCUUUGCUAUAUUGACCAACUGUAAUAUGAACAUACCAUACAUAAUAGGACAAACAUGUUCACAUACAGUCAGUCAUACCAAGAGAUGUAGACAAAAUAUCUAAUAGGAUAAAAAUUACCAGGCAACUUCCUUGGCUUUCUCAGGGGAACAAACUUUGCUCCUAUUGCCAAUGCAAUGGGAGGGCCAAAGAUAAAACCUCGAGCCUCAAUUCCUGAAAUAAACGAAAAUGAAACCUCAGAUUUCAGAACGCCAUAAGGGCUACAGAAAUGUUUUCUACUACCACAUAGAACUUGAGACUUCAAACAAUACAGGGUUAUCACUAUUCACUUAGAAAAGGCCACAACAAGCAUAAUUUCUGUGUCGAUCACUCUGUUACCAGAGCAAUAAAAGUGUACCAGCACAAAUAAUUCUAAAUGUACCAUCCACAAACAUAAUGCCAUGAAAGGAGACAAAUAGCAACACUUUUAACAUGAAAAUGGGAAUGGGAAGUAAAAAACCCAUUUGAAUGCAUCUUUAUUAUCAGGUAUUUAAGUUUCCACUAGGAUUCAAUGAUCUCUAGACAAUGGUCCAAACAAAUUCAGGUUCUCAACCCGUUGGACUGCAAUUUCCUCCACUAGGAUACAAUGAUAUCUAUAAAAAAGGUCCAAGUAUAUUCGGGUCCCCAGUGUUGGGUGUAGGUGGCUCGAUACAAGCCAUGUGUAAGUUCCACAUUGGAAAAUACAACAAUAAUCUACAGUUUAAAUAUAGGUGGUCCACUUCUAAUUGCAACGAGACCUUUUGUGAUAAAACCCCACACCUAGAGGUCCAUUGGGUCUUCUCUCUCCUUGGUGGUUAAGGUGGGGACAGUAUCGGUGCAUGAUUUGGACAGGUAGUGGGCUCCUAUUGGGCCCAUCGGUACAACACUCAGCUCAAAAGAAACAGUAAAGGACAGAUAUUCAAUUUAAGUUUCCACUAGAAUACAAUGAUCUCUAGACAAUGGUCCAAACAUAUUGAGCUUCCCAACCUGUUGGACCGUAAUUUCAUUGUCAGGUUUUUAAGUUUCUACCAGAAUACAAUGAUAUCUAUAAAGGUCCAAUCCAAGCGUAUUUAGGUCCUCGACUCAAAGAAAAGAUUACCAUAUUCAGGUCCUUGGCUCCACAGAAACAGCUAAAAUACUUUCAAGGAUAAAGAAAGAUGUUGGUAAAAAGUUUAUUAUAAGAACAGAAGAAAUUUUAAAAGAACGGCACGGUGAACAUAAUUCCCAAUGCAUAAGAAAUAUGGAAUCAAAUGUUAUGAGACAAUAAUGAAGGAAUGAAUAGGGAAAGAAAUCCUUCCAAAUUACAAUUUCUAAUGUAGCAUAAGACUACAACUAUGGAAAAGUAAAUGUAAGAGUUUAAUGAUCAAGGCUAGGACUUGGCUUCCAUGGUUAUCGAGGGCAACAUAAUACUAGGAAAUAUUGGUUCUUCUAAUAGAAAAACUAAGCACAAACAAGAAAUCAACUACAACAUCAAUUAAAAUAACAACAGAUACGGUAUGCUUUUCUUUUCAAGAAGAAAUACCACAUCUUGUCUAUGUCAGGGUGUAAUUUGCAGGUAGAUUCCCAAAUAGGUAUAAGGACUUUCAUUAACACAAGAAGACAUCUUAAGUCCACAUAAGCGCACAAAUAGAUAGAUCCUAGUGUAUACACAUUAAGACAAAACAUGCAUAAACAAUUUGGACCAAAUAAUUUGGGAAAUCAAUAUAAUAACUGAGAAUCAAGGCCAAUCAAUAAUGAAAUGGAAUUAAAUUUUCAGCUGUGUAGGACCUAAAGUGGUAUAUUUGGAUACCUAUUAUAAGUUACGAAUGAAAUGGAAAGCAUGUGAAUAUAUAUCGAUUUCUAAUGAAGUCAAUUCCGAUUAGAUUCCUUGAGGCAUAAAUGUGACUUUUACCAGCUCCACAGACACAAAGCUUAAUUUUCUUCAUAAUCUUCCACAAUGUAAUAUUUUCAAAACUAGUAGGGCCAAACAAAAGAAGCUUAAUUUUAAAAGGAACUUUCAAUGGUUCUUUUAUCAAUUUUUGAAAGGCCAAACACAAGCCAAGGCAGCAAAGAUUCAUAAAACUAUUACAGUAAACAAUUACAUCACAAUAAUAAAUUCCCUCAAUGCACAGCAACUCAAGGACACAAGGAAGGGCAACAACAUAAAGAGAAUAAAUAAGGGUCACCCAACAGUAAAGUUGGAAACCCACAUUAUAAUGAAGCCAAAAAAUUCGGCCCAAUUGAAAUGGGGGUCCACUUUUAACAAGGUGGGCAUCAUCACCAACCACCACCAUCCACGCAAAUUGGACUCAAGCACAUACCCACAAGAGAGAGAGAGAGAGAGAGAGAGAGAGAGAGAGAGAGAGAGAGAGAGCAAAUGUGAGGAGCUGGAGAAAUUUUUUUAAAGGAGAAUAAAGAAAAGAACUUCAGAGAGAGCCAUCAGUGGCAUAACGCACUAACAAGGCUUAGAGUCAAACAAAAAAUCACUCCCAAAACCCAGUGUGACUUCCAUUCCAUAAUUCCCCUUAGAAGCAUUCAAAAGGACAAGGAGAAACUUAUGCAAUAUUUAGAAUUUCUGCAUCACACAGACCUACUUUUCUAGUAAGCAUGGACCCACCACCUUCAAGCUAAUCACUGUUACAAAAAGUUCUUUAAAAGCUUUGGUCCUUUGGCUCAAAUGCGCAAAAUCUUUAAACCCCAGUUCUCCAACUAGUCCUUAACAAAAGAGAAUUAUAAAAUUUAAAAAAUAUAUAUUUUCUUAUUUUUUUUACCUGCAACCACUGAAAUGUUUUUGCCUUUGUAUCUCUCAACGAACAAAUCGAUUGUGUCCUUGAAGGCUUUUGGGUCCAGCAAUAAAGUUGUGAUAUCUUGGAACAUAAUACCUACACAGUGUGGCAGUUGCAGGACAUGAACCAAAAACAAAAUAAGCAAAUUUCCAACAGAGAAAGACAGAACAACCACAAGAAAAAAAGAAUAAACAAUCACUUCAACUGUUUGUUAUGAAAAAUAGAAGGGAAAUGAAAGGAAACCAAAAAUGAAAAUUUUCAUUUUUAUCACAAAGGCCAUCACUUUUUGCAUAAAUGAAAACCCACUUCAGUCAGGCCACAUAAUCAGGUUUUCAUGACAAAGAUACAACAUUUUUUAAGACAACUUGUUGAGUCAAAAACGAAAACGAAAAACUUAAAUAGCGCCAAAUUUUAGAUGAGAGAAAAAAGAAGAACAAACCAGGUUUGGGAAAAUUGGGGACGACCCGAAUCUUGGUUUUAAUACCAUGGAUGCGAGGAUCUUCAUCUUUGAAAACCGACAUUGUGGUGUAUGCAAGAGACCCAAAAGAACUCACUCUUUGUUUCUUCAAGUUUCCCUGACCAAAACCCAGGUCAGAAAACCGCUCUGUGUGUCUGUAUUCCACCAGAAACAGAGUGACAAAAACUCAGAGAGAGAGAGAGAGAGAGAGAGAGAGAGAGAGAGAGGGAGAGGGAGAAAGAGAGGGAGAAGCGUGGGCUCAGAGAUAAGAGAGAAGUAGUAUUUAUAGAGUGAGCAGAGAAAGUGUGCAGCGUGUUUUCAGUUUUCACUUUCCGAGAGAGGGAUGAUGAUGGUAAAAGGUGAAAAAGAAAAAACAGAGGAAUCACGAGAUCAUCCAGCCAAACACGCCCUUCUCUCUACUAGCCAGGCGCGGCUGUCUUUAGGCCGAUUUCGCGCGUUUCUUUGAGUUACUGACUUUGUGAAAAAGACUUCACGACUAAAAUAUCGAUAAUAUCGAUAAAAUAUCAAUGAUAUUAUCGUUUUUUUGGAUCUAGAAUAUUUUGAAACAUAUUUAUACACAUAUCGUAUAAGUAUCGAUAAUAUCGAAAAAUAUCGAUGUUGAUAAUUUCUCUCACACUUCAACAAUAUUUGACCAAAAUAUCGCUAUAAUAUCGAUAAUAUUGCUAAAAUAUCGAUAAUAUCGCUACAAUAUCGACAAUAUCGAGAUGACGAUGACUGUGAAAAAUUUGAAGAGUUAUUUACACUAACACCCCGAAGUUUCUUAUGUUUUCACAAAACCCCCUCGUAUCUCAAAAAUUACAUGAACACCUCCUGAGGUUUCAGUGUCUUUUCACAAAAACCCAUUUUCAUUGAUUGUUUGUCCAAAAUUGAUGAUUUCUUUGAAAAAAAAACUUAUGUAAAUGACAAACUUAACCUUAAUGAAGUAUAUGCAAUCUAAUCUCAAAUGCCAACUUUGUCAUUUGGAUAAUUUUAAUUUUAUAAAAUCAUCAAUCUUUAGAUGAAAAAUCAAUGAAAAUGAGUUUUGUGAAAACAAUUUAAAACCUCAGGGAGUGUUCUUGUAAUUUCUAAAAUCUCAAGGAGUUUUGUAAAAAAGCCGAAAACCUCAAGGGGUGUUAGUGUAAAUAACUCAAAUUUAAAUCUUAUAGGAACUUUAUGUGGUACUAAGUCACUCAUAUAUCUUACCAUGUAAUGUAUAAAUUGUAAUAUUGUAGUAAAUCAAUAUAAAUAAAUGAUUAUGGUAUGUUUAAUCUUCUUUCAUUAAUUGCUAUAUAUUUUCUACACUCGCAGUGUUUGUCAGCUCGCUAUAUAAUCAACUUAAAUCAGUUAAACCCAUCUUGCAAUGCAUUUUUUUUUUCAAUUUUCUAUGAUAAAGUAAUAGAUAAUUGAUUAAAUAAACAUCCUCCAAAGUUUCAAGAAAAAAUUUCAAGUUUUUAUUAUAAUUUUCAUGGUUUUUAUUCAAUUUUUAUCGAUAUCGAUAAUUUUCCGAUAUUUCCAUAGAAAUUUCCGUGUUUUUGGACUAUCGAUAUUUCUGAAACCAUUGAUAUUUUAGACCUUACGACAUUUUUUUUUUUGUUUUAUAAUUUUUUUUUAUGCUAUCUAGCAAUGUUGAGGGAGGGGGUUUCUCACAUACAUUAUCAAAAUAUUAUGGGGAUUUGAACUUGAGACUGCUGAUUUGCAUUUUUCCACUGAGAUAGACCUCGUUGACCACAACAUAUACUAAAUACGUUAAAUUACAGUAAUGAUUUAUGUAGUUUAUUUUUAUUUUUAAAUUUGACGAAAAUUUAUGAAGGCAUUUGAUACACCUUUCUUAAACUUUGCAUGAUUAAAAAUUGAGAAAUUUUAUGAAGAUCAUAUUCAUAUACCAUCUUGUAUAUCCCUCUAGAAAGGUACUUAUUAUAUUGGUGACAAUUUAACUAUAGUGACAUUUAUGAUUUCAAAUGGUUAAUUUCAUUCUACAUCAUCAAGUAUACAUGCAUUAUUCAAUUCAGUCAAUAAAAAGAAGUUUUAAUUGUUUAAAUUUAAAAAAUAAGACUAACUAAAUCAAAUUGUUAAUUUCAUUCUACAUAAUAAAGUUUAUAUUACUUUUUGUUUUUUCUUUCAGUCCAAAUAUGUUACAGAAAGUCUUGCAGGCUCCAUUUUCCCUCAAUUCUUAAUGUUUAUCUCCCCAUGCAUAGCUAUAGUGUCGCAGAGAAGAGAAUCAAGCCCUAAGCAGGUUCAUAAAAUCCUAUCUGGCUGCAAAUAGAAACCCUCAUAUUUCUGAUGAAAGACAUACAGCAAUAGCUAUCGAAAAGUUUUGGAGAGAGGUGAAGACCUUAAUUUCUCAAACCAACCAUAACUUUUUGGAUCUGUCCUAGUUUCUUAUAAAAUAUUUUUAGUAGCUAGCUCGGAUUGUGUACUGGUCCAUUUCAUUAGUCCAUUAUGAAUAUGUUAUUUCAACAUCCAACUACAAUUUGCAUUUGUUACAAACCAUAACUACAAUAUUGGCCAAAAUGGCCAACUUGAUAUGUCAUUAGCUAAGCUAUUAUUAAUAUGGGGAGGGGACCCUAUCUACUUUGAAAUCUAAGAUAAGGUAGCGAUAAAAACUGUGAAAACAAGUAGAUAUAAAUGUGUUUAGCCAGUAAACAUCAUCCAGAGUCUCACUUAUCUUAGACGCAUGUGAAAAUGUCAUUGUCCUCUCUAAGCUUUGUUUGAAGACACAAACAACGAAUUUUAAGAAUCUAAAAAUUAUAAUAAAUUAGAUCUUGAACUUGAUGAGUUAGAUUCUAAUCAUAAAUUUUAUUAAUAGGAACAAAAAGUGAUAGAUUGCAUAUAAGGAAAAUUCAAUUUACAAUGGGUAGGCAGGGAUGUAGACCCUUUUGUAUUCUAUGUCGUGCUCAUGUGCACUCAUUUGUUAAUUGUUUUGUGUAAUAUCAAAUAUCUAAAACCUAAACAUGGCAUGUCCCAUAGCCUUGACCUCGACCCAUUCCCAUUCAUGCUCGUAUCGUGUUUGGUCAUGCAUUAAAUGGUCUAGAACAAUGGGCCCGAUUUUAUUUAUACUUUUUAGUGUUUGAAAUUUAUCAAAGCCAAAUUGGUCAUUGUACUUAGUUUGGGCUUAUUUUGUAUUUGUACCGUGUUAAUUUGUUUAGUCUCGUACCGUGUCCUGUUUAAAUGAAUAACGAGAUAUGUGGGUAAGUGAUAAAUUUGUUGAUUUAAACAUUGUAAAUAUAUAGGACAUUUAUAUUCGUUUGGCACAAUAGUAAACGCGAUGCUUAUAACUUCACCAGUUGAGUAUUUACUCUACAAUAAUAUUAGGCACACCAAAUUUUUUUUUCCUCUUAACUCUUAUCCAACUCCUGUAUAGGAUGUGUGAACAAUGAGAUUAUCCAAUCAUAUGUAAAACUCAUGUAGGACCCAUUCUAUGUAAGAGAGUUGAAAUAAAGAGUUAGGAAAAAAGUUGGUGAGCAUUACUAUAUAUUCUGAUCAUCUAAGAGUGAGUUUCGUAUAACUUGUCAUGAUGUUAAAUAUAUAACCUCCUAGUCAUCUAUGCCACUAAGGGAGGUCUUAGUUUGGUCCAACGUACAUUCUUACCCCUUGUUACAUUGCUAAAAGUAAAUCCCUAUAAUCUAAGUGAAAUGUGGUUUUUUUAGGGUUCUUAGAUCUAAGUUCAAAACGUUUGGUUGCUAUUAGGUCUAGUUCACAUAUUUUUGCUUUUUGAUUCAAGUCAUUUGACAUUUAUUCUUCAAUUUUUAUACCAAUUUUUCCCUUUGAACUAAAAAUGAAAAUAAAUUUUAAGAAAGUGAUUUCAUGCAUCUUUUCCUCCUCAUUCAAAUGUUGACUUUUUUUUCCCCCCCUUCAUAAAGCACCUACAACAAUAAAAAGAAAUCAUCAAUAAACAAUAUAUCUAUCUAUGAGGUAAAAACUCAUUUAAAAAAUACACAAUUUUUCCUUUAACUUGUAAUCUAACUGUUGAGGCCCAAAAAGUCACGAGAAGCCUAAAAGCAUUUAAAGUCCAAUACGACAUGCGAAAAAAUUAGCUCAAUUUAAAUGCUUGGUUAUGGUUUUAACUCUUAAAUCACCAUCGCCAGAACUUCAAACAACAAAUGCUCAAUACCCGAACUCAAGCAUAUCCAUAACCAAGCUAAGCACAUGCAUUCUCAUUUGCUAAACUUGUGGAUCUUUAGCUCCCACACUCCAAGCUCUCAUGCCAAGCACAUAUAAUCUUUGUUCAACAUCAGCAAAUCACCUUCACCCAUUUUCAGAGCUACCGGAAACGUCAACACAAAAUACGCAGCUGCUGGAAGAACAACAUAGUACCAUCCUAGGACUUGCUUCUCCUUCGGUAUGCUUUGGGUCUAGUUCUCGCUAACUCGGAAAAAAAAAAAAAAAAAAAAAGAGGCAACGAAGACUUGAUUCACCAUUUUAUGGCAAUCCAAGAGUCAAUAAGUCCUGACAAGCCUUCCGAAGGAAAAAGACCCCAACACUAACUCAAAGGUAAAAACAAAGAACAUGUUAUAUAUUAUCUUACUAAAAGGUACAACACAUUAGAUAUAAUGGUGAAGGAAUGCAUAUAUGUAGAUAUAUAUAUUGGUCGAACAAUAGAAAAUAUGAAUUUAAAGAUAAUAAUAAUUCUUAACAGAAAUUGUAAUCACAAAAUACAAUAACAAAUUUACAUGAAAUUAAUGUAAAUCAACAAACACAAAUAGAAACAUUGACAAUCACAAGGCAGUUCUAUAGGCGUUCAUUUCACAGGAUUCAAUGAUCGAUAAUCCUAAAUUGAAACACUUCAAUUUAAUACUAUGGUGAACUAAUUAUAUAUUUGUACUCUCAAGACACUUAGGAAAGAAACUUGAAGAUUGAUACUUUAUCAUAGCAAGAGUGGGGAAAACUCCUUUUCAACACCACACUGGAAUGUCAUAUAUAUUUGGUUUAUAUAGAACCCAAAUAAAAAGACAAAGGCCUAUAAAGCGUCAUACCUAUACAUUAGAGACGUAAAGAGGCAAAAUAAGAUGAGAAAAAAUGCACCAUGUGAGAGACCCACAUGCUAAAGCUAAAUACCCAAAAACCAAAACCCAAAUCACCAUCCCUUUGCACCUUAUGAAGAGGUAAAAACCACCAUGAGAGGAACCCUCGUCAUCUUCUAUGCAAAGAGCAUGUAUAUGCAUUGGUCACUGAGUUUAGAGCUAAACUUUCGAUUUGAGCAUUUGUUUGCAAUGUCCAAAAGUUCAUUUCUCACAUAUGUGUGGUUGAUGACUUCUUCAUCAUUUGAGGUUCGGAAGUGGAAUCGGUAAACCAAUACAAUUGGUUGAGUAGUAUGUAAUUAUUUUUGUCUUCCUCUCAUUUCUUUUUUGUUUCCAUUGUAUCUAUUGUUGGUUCGUCAUUUUGCUUAAUUAAGCAAAAAUUUCUCUAUAAUAUGUGGUGAUGGGUUUGCUUAAUCAAGUAAGAACACAUAAAAGUCAGCUCUUAAAUGAUCAAUCACAAGAAAUAUGGAAUCUUGUAAUUAUUGUCAUAGAAAUCAGCCUAUUACCUUAUUUAUGUCUCUAAAACUUAGUGCAGUCGCAUGUAAUGGUUGGAGGAAAAUCCUAACAAAACAAAGAAAAUAGGGGAACAUUUUGUCUCUGAAAAUGGGGGAAGAGGGGAAAGGAGGAAGAGAAAAUGGGAGAAGGAAGGAAGAACAGUGGCUUCCUUCGCCCUCAAAUUGAAAAUGGCUCUAGGAAUGUUUUUUAGGAGAGAGGGGGCUAGGGCUUCUAGAGAUAUGUGGUUAAGUGAUAAUUAAACUUUGAGUGCUACUAUUUCCGCCCUAUAUCCUAUUUUCUCACCCACCAUGUAAAUUUGAAAAAACACAAUCUUAUCUUUCCACUCACCAUUAUUCAUAAAACACCCUUUAAUUAUUAAUUCAAUCAAAUUAUAUUUGCUAAUUAUUAGUAGUUGAGAUAUGAAGAGGAUGAAGUUGUGUUUGACGGACUAGAUAAAUGUUUUAGUUUAAUAUUUUGAUUUUAUGGAUCUUUUAGUUUUUUAAUUCUCUGCCUUGUAGCUUGGGAAAAUAUUAUGAAUAAAUGUUAAGAAAAAUGUACAUUUGAAAGGGUCAUUUUCUAUUGUGUUCCAUUUGUGCGUAAAAAGAGAAAGGUGAAAGGAAUAGAAACAACACCUUGCAGACCCAAAAAAAGAAAAAAGUAAUUGAACUACUCAACAUGGAAUAAAAUCAAACAAUGGGGUAAAUUUAUCUUCAUAAGUCAUUUUACAAAGGGGUAAAUUUAUCUUUAAAAUGUUGAAGAUAAAAUGGAUGGGGAAAUAGGAAAGGGGAGUGAAAAUAGCAGUACUUUUAAACUUGUUGGUGUUACCAAAAUAAAUUAAUUAGGACAAUUUAUCUUCGUUCAACACAACAAUCAAUUGUGAGACUUAUAGCUAGUAGUUGAGCAUCGUUUAUGAACAUCAUCUCUCAUAGAUUAUAAUUUUACUAGUUGAGUAUUUACUCUCAGACCAACAACCCUUGAUGGAUAAGAGUGAGUUUCCACACAACAUAGCUUAUAAAUCCCCCUCAAACCCCCACGAUCCUCCCCAAAAAAAUGUUAGUGUGAUUUGAGGACCAUUGACUUUCCUUACACACCAAGAAUUCACACAUUAAUUCUUGAUUUCCUACUGUAAAUAAAAAUAUGAAUUUAUUAUUUUACUUGGCCACCAAGGUUCGGUCGUAUUAUAAACAUGACCUCCUACAAGGAGAGGAAUACACAGAAAAUUCCCACAAAUAAAUAUUCUCUCAUAGUUUCUCAUAUUUUAGCAUGGUAUCAAAACAACGAUAUUGAGAUUGUUAACUCUAGUUUCAAACCCUUGCCGCCGCCAUGGGGGAGGAUCAUUUUUGUAUUCCUCAUGGAGGUAAUACCAUUGACCUCACCUCUCCUUCUCACCCAACCUUAGCCGAAUUGAGUGGUCAGAUGUCUCAGUUCCUAAAUAUGCAAAACCAGACCCGACUCUAGCCGAAUUGAGUGCUUAGAUGGCUCAGUUCCUAAAGAUGUAGAAACAGACCUUGAACCCGAUCCUCACUCAAGAUCCGAUCCCAACCCCGAACCUGAUCCUGACCCAAGAUCUAACCAAGAUCUCAAUUCAGACCCCGAUCUUUGAAGAAUUGAUUUUCAAAAAGACACAGAUAGAGAGAUAGAAACGUUUGCACAAAAGCGAUUGAUCGUCCAACACCGACGAUCGAUCGCAUUGAGCCUAGAACAUAAUGUUCUUCUCUGCCGAAAAUCGAUCAAUCGUCCAUUCCUGAUGAUUGAUCGCCUAACCCGUGCGAAGCUGUUUCUGAUUUGAGUCCCACUCUUACAAACAACUUAAAGCAACAAGUUGACGACUCCCCUCUCACUUAACAGUACGAACGGACCAAACUCCUGAGAAUAUCUUUGAGGUAACUACUCAUAUUGCACUUGUGAAUUUAGAGGAUAAAUUUAUUGGAUAUCAAUUAUCUUUCAGGCAAAAUCGUAGAAAGUCACCAAAUCGUUAUUCACCAGAUAUUAGCAAGACAUCAAGGUAUCUAAUUGCGAAUUAUGUAUCCACUAAGAAACUGUUUGAACCACUCAAGGCUUUUGUGUAUCAGUUGUCUGCUAAUCAUAACCCAAUUAAGGUUGCUGAAGCAUUAAAAGACCUUAAGUGGGUUCAAGCUAUAAAGGAAAAGAUGAAAGGUCUUGAGAAAAAUCAGACUUAGACACUGGAAACUUUACCAUAAGGGAAAAAGACUGUCGAAUGUAGAUGGGUGUUUACUAUAAAACACAAUGUUGAUGGAUCUAUCGAGCAAUACAAGGCAAGACUUGUGGCAAAGGAAUACACACAAACAUACGGUAUAGACUGUGAAGAAACCGUUGCACCAGUAGCAAAGUUAAACACCGUCAGAGUCUUACUGUCUUUUGGAAUUAAUUUGGAUUGGCUACUACACCAAUUUGAUGUAAAGGAUGAUUUCCUGAAUGGGGAACUCACAGAUGAGGUGGAUAUGGACAUUCCUCAUGGAUGUAAUAUUACUCAGAUUGGAAGAGUAUGCAAAUUACGAAAGGCAUUGUAUGGAUUGAAACAAUCACCGCGCGCAUAGUUUGGACGGUUCACCAUAGCGAUGAAGAACAAUGGUUUCAGACUGAAUAACACAGAUCAUACUAUAUUCUUGAAACAUCAAAAAUGGAAGGUAACUGCUUUAAUAAUCUAUGUUGAUGAUAUGAUUAUUAUUGGGAAUGAUAAAUAGGAAAUAUCUCAACUACAAGACUAUUUGGCUAUUGAAUUUGAGAUGAAGAAUCUAGCUGGACUCAAGUAUUUCUUGGGGAUUGAGGUGGCCAGAUCAAAGCAAUGCAUAUUUCUCUCUCAAAUGAAAUAUGUCUUGGACUUGUUGACAGACAUAUGAAUGCUAGAUUACAAACUUGUAAACACUCCUAUUGUUCAAAAUCAUCAUCUUGGAGAGUACCCGAAUCAAGUUCCAACUAACAAAGAAAGAUAUCAAAGGUUAGUGGGAAAAUUGAUCUACUUGUCACAUACCGACCAUAGAGCGUUGUCAGUCAAUUUAUGCAUUCUCCAAGUGAAGACCACAUAAAUAUAGUUUUUUGGAUACUUAGAUAUUUAAAGUCUGCACCUGGACUAGGACUUAUGUUCUCAAAACAUGGUCAUCUGAAUAUUGAUGGGUAUUCAUAUGCAGAUUGGGCAGGUAGUGUAACAAAUAGAAGAUCCACAUCUAGUUACUUCACAUUCGUAUGAGGUAAUUUGGUGACAUGGAAAAGCAAAAAACAUAAAGUAGUAGUUCUAUCUAGUGCAGAAGCCGAAUUCAGAGGUAUGACUAAGGAAUUUGUGAGCUCCUUUGGUUAAGAAACUUGCUUACUAAACUUGGGUAUGAACCUACAUCCACAAUGAAUCUCUUUUGUGAUAACAAGGCUGCAAUCGUUAUUGCAUAGAAUCCGAUUCAACAUGAUCGCACCAAACAUAUUGAGGUGGAUCGACACUUCAUCAAACAGAAGUUUGAGGCUAAAGUGAUUCAGUUUCCUUUCGUGAAGUCCGAGGAUCAAUUAGCGGAUAUUUUGAUAAAUGCAAUUUCCAGUAGAGCGUUCCAUAAUUCACUGGACCAGUUGGGUAUUGGCGAAAUCUAUGCACCAACAUGAGGAGUAGUGCUGGCGUGACUUGUGGACCAUUAACUUUCCUUGCACACCAAGGAUUCCCAUAUUAAUUAUAAUUGAUUUACUUUAAUUCCUGAUUUCUUACUGUAAAUAAAAAAAUGAAUUUAUUAUUUUACUUGGUCACUAAGACUCCGUUAUAUUAUAAAUAUGACCUCCUACAAAGAGAGAAAUAUACAAAAAAUUCCCACAAACAAAUAUUUUCACAUAACUUCUCAUAUUUUAGCAGAAACUUUGUUUGAUUUUUACCAACUACAACAAAAGAUAUAAGGAAAGGACCAAAUUACCUUGUUUGGAAUUGGAUGCCCUUCUGAAGCUGGCAUCCACAGUACAUUGAACUAAUGUUGAAGUCAAAACCAACCAAAGCCAUUUUCUAAUUAUAACUCCCUGACAAUUUGCCCCAUCUCUUUCUCUGUGCGUCUCAGGGGUUGCUUUCAAAUCUGCAUAGCAAUAUUCUGUGCCCAACUCUAAUCCCUUUCACGUUAACCCACGUAUCAAUUUCUUGGUCCUUCUGCCCCAAAAAGAUAAAACAUUUUAAUCAAUUUCUUGGUCCUUCUGCCCCAAUGCCAAAAUUAAUAACAGCAGAGCACCUGCCUUACUGUAAAUUAAAAAGCAGGGUCAUGACAAAUAAGAUAUAGUAAGAUUUUUGGAACUUUAGAAGUACAUACCUUAAAGUUUUGAUGACAGUGACUUGCAAAAUUAAGGGUGCCCCAAAUCAUAGUGUCUGUAGCAGAUACUUCUCUCGGAGAAGAUCUUACUUGGGUUUUGCAAGCCAAAGAUUAAGAUUUCUCCAUCACAAUUUAUAUAUGGAGACUGCAGAUAAGUAUAUUAUAUUAACGUUAACCUUUUCUCUUUUUCUCUUUUUCUCUUUUUCUGAGUAAUUAAAGCAGGCAUUUUCUAUCUUAACCAUUGCGAAAGGGACCAUGCUUUUGUUUUUGUUUUUUUUUUUGGUGUGAAAAAAAGGGACCAUCUUUGGCAACAGCUAACAAAUAGAAAAUCUGGUGUAAUAAAUAAUAGUACAGAAAGCUGCACAGUUUCUGGCUUAAAGCAAAAGGGUUUGAUCAAGACAAUGGACUCCAGAUCACGAGUGUAACUUCCAUGUAACAUGUUUUAUAUAUAUUUAUUUUCUAUCUUUCUCAUUAUGAGAUGAGUUACGUGAUGAGCAUAUAUAAAUUCAUCUAUCUAAUGCGCGGGUCUAAGUGUAGUCGCAAUCUAAAUUUAUAUCCUCAACAAAGCAAUAAUCACAGCACAAAUAAAAAACAAGGAAACGAUACUCACACAACUUUUUUGUAAUAAAAACAUUUGAAAUAAAAGCUCUUAAAAGUAAAUGGGUGAAGGAAAAUGGGUGAAGCAACUUGUCGAUGAGGUAAAUGGGUGAAGCAAAAGAACAUUAUGAUAUUAUGAGGCACGAUGGCUGAACUGAAACAUAAGAACAUUAUGAUAGGAAUAAAAAUGAAGCACGCCCCAAGAAAACACAUAAUAUAUUGUAGCAUCAAUGAUUUUAUUUAUAAUUCGUUGUUAAUUGAAGUGUUAUAAUCAUGUUAAGCUAUAGCCUAUUUAAAUACCUAACCACCGCCCUUCUGAUCAAUUAUUUUCAUUUAUAAUUAUAAUUAUUUUAAUUUAAAUCAUAUUAAGAUAUUUUAGUAAGAAGCACGUGUGAGUAUUUUUUUUUAUCACAAAAUCAGUCAAUUUAUCUACAUUAUUGUUCCUUGAUAUAUUUUAUCUACUACUUAAAUAAAAUGUUGCGAUCGUUAAUGGUAUCUAGCCAGUGAAAAUGGCCUUAAUUUGCAGACCAGUAAUCUUAGGUUCGAACCUUCAUGACACCUUGGUUGUGCGUGUGAGAAUACUCCCUCCCCUUCCUAACUUUGGCAAUAUAUAUGCCUAUUGUGAUUCAAGCUACACUUGAUCGACUCAUUACAUUUUAAGUUUGGUAUGGCUAUCCUACAUUUUAGACCAAUUUUUCCUCUCUGUCUUUUCCGAUGACUCGACUUGGAUUGAAUUAGAGAGUUGAGUCCAAACCAGUCCUUAUGAGUCCUACUUGUCCCCUCUAAGCGGGACUUGUAAGACACAAUAUGCUGGAUUGUUAUCCAUUUUAAUAAGUUUAGUCUCAGCGCAUGUACCAAACAACAAGAAAUUAUAGAAUGAUACUGUACCAUCACGUCAGCCGAUGAUACUUCCACUUAAAAUUUUAUAUGUGUACAACUUUUUAAAGAAAAAUUUAAAAUUUAUACAGUUGGAUUUAAAAUCCAUUUUUCAAUUUAAAUUUAAUUUAACAAAAAUAGAAAUAUCUAAAAUAAAUAAAUGAAAUUUCCUCGGCAACAUCAACCCCUUCUUUGAACGUGCAACAAAGCCCCCAACCCCACCUUUCUGCCAUGGCUGCCAUUGGUCUUUUUUUUUUUUUUUCAUGUCUUUGUGUCUUUCUCUCUUCCUUUCCCUCCUCUGUAAUUACGGGUAGGGUUCAAGGAAUUUGGAUUGAAACUUUCUUGGGGGGUGAGUUUAUGGUCUUUGAGGAAUCCAAGCUUUCAACAUACAUCAAGAGCAAAAUCAAGUUUUUUUCUUGAUUGUGAAACUCGAAGGAUUCAUUUGCCAUGGGUUGUCACCAUAUUCACAAAUAGAGAGAUAGAUAGUCAUGACAGGGGCUUCGUCACUAUCGAUGAGGCAAAUGAUUUUUGGGUUUUUCUUUUUAAGUUUUUAAAAUUCUUUUAAAUUUAUUUUUAAGGGUAAAAAAUUAUACACAUAUCAAAUUUUGAACAUGAGUAUCACCAGCCGACGUGGUGGUACAGUACUAUUAUAUAAUUUCUCUAAAUAAAAGUUAAGACUCUUAUCCAUUUUAAUUGAAAUAGUCCAGUAUAAUCUCACUCAUCAAACUUGUGCGCCUAUAAUAUAUAAAAGUGAAGUGCUUAGAAAUUUCACUUUGGGGAGUGAAUUAGCCAAUUAACUCCAGAGGCAAAUUCAGCGACCAUAAACCUAAGCCGCCUCAUGUACCUAGUGCAUCAAAGUUUUCUCCUUCACGACAUGGUGGGGAUGGCCAUAGAAGUAUAGGACAGUAGGGAGGAUGUAGGGUAGGCUAACCUAUAAACCAAAAGAGUACAGAAAAGUUCUGUUUGGUAGGUACAUAAAUGGGGGAUCUUCUUAGAAGAUAGUCCAAAGAUCUUCUUGUCCCCACUAUCUCCAUCUCUCUCCCCCACAGACAUCAAUGCAUUGCAAUGCAAUUCCAUGCGCAGCACCAAUUGCGCUUUUUGGCAACGGUUUAGUGGGGAAGAACAAAAUAAAUUCUUCAAGUACUAAAUAAAUCCCUCCUGGCCUAGUGUUGCUGUGUACUUUUUUUAUACAUUAAAAUUUGACACUUGUUUUGUGUACUAAUAACGUUGUGAGAUUUGAGGCCACCUUUUAAGUACAAAGAAACCAUACCAAUGCAAAAUCCAUGCAUGCACAGCAUCCAUUGCUGCUUUUGGCCAUGUUUUGUUUUGGGGGAAAAAGAAAAUUUUAUUCUGACAGCAUUUGGACCUGUCGUUCUGCACUGACGUUCUGCACUGAAAUGCGACAUUUGCAUGGUGUAAUAUUUUCUGAUAUAUAUAAUAACCAGUGUCUGUCUCUGCAUCUUCACACACACACAAGUGCUUACUCAAUAACCACACGAGGCACUUUUGUCUCCUUCUAACAAAUGCUGUAAGAAAAGAAAACACUCGAAUUUGUGUUGAACUUUUUUCUUCUUUUUUUUCACCACGAAAAACUCAAGUACUUCUCACAUAUUCACCUAAGAAAUGCUUCUUUUGAAAACACUUUUUUUCUCUUCCUUUCAAAUGAUGUAAACCAAAAACACUUUUAAUCCAGUAGUCGUCCAUGUUCAUCCUUAGAAAGUAUUUAAUUAGUAAACCUCAGGAAUUUUUUUUUAUUUGUUCUCUUUUUGCCAAAUGCUGUAAAAUGCACUUUUAAUUAUAUAAAAACACUUUUUGGCACGAUCAAAAUGAACAUGUCAUGUCUCUUUUCUCAAUCUUGAUUAAGAUUGUAUGUCUGCAAUAUAUAAAGUAAAAGGCAGAAAAUAGUAAAACAUUCAAAAUACCAGAAAAUGACAUUGAUUAAUGCAAACAUUAAGAAUUAAAAUUAUUAAUUAAAUGAAAAUAAUAUGGUAAAUUCACACUUUUUCAUAUUUAAAAAAAUAAAUAAAUAAAUAAUGAGUCCUAUUUUUAUGAAACACAACUACCCAUUAUCUUUUCUAAUAGAGGCUUAGUUAACAUUACAGUAUAUUUUGCAAGCCAUCCUGCAUUCGAAUUUCAAAUUGUUCACAUAUCGCUGCUAUGGAGCUAUGCCAUUAAUUAUAUAUGCCCCACUGUUUUAAUAUAUCUGUACUGAUCAGUUAUAAUAAUUUUAUAAGUGGUCCUGAGGUUUACAAAGAAGGGUAUCAAGGUUCCAAUGAGAUAGUCUCUAUACAUAAAUAAAUUAAAGAAACACAUAUGUAUGUUAAAGAGGAAUGGCAAGUUCUUAAUUUGUAUCGUCAUGAUUUUAUUUUGGACAAAAGUAAAUUUUGAGUUGGAAAGAAAGAUUAACGUUCUUUCUUGUUUCUACAGUCUCUAUACUAGUCUUAACUCUAAACCCCACAUCCCAAACUUAAAACGCUUAACCCGGCAAAAGAUUACAUUCCACUUUUUCGUCAAAGAAAUCUCACGAGUUUAGAAAACAAAAAAAUUGAUCCAAAAUGUACUUGGACCACAUAUUCAAAAAACAAAAUCAUCAUUCUGAUCUUAAUUUGAUCCUAUACAUCUUCAACUUUCUUUAACCAUGUUGCAUACGUAAGACAUAAGAAUAUCUUGUUUUCUUUAUUUUUUCAUUUUUUUGGUCAAGGUAUAUCUUGUAAGUUGUUCUUUUUUGUCGUAAAUUAGUGGUUUCGGUGGUUCCAAACUUAUCAGUUUUCAUAGGACGUGUGACUUAUUUACAUAAGAUAUAAUUUUAUAUCUUCUUGUUUAUGAUGAGGAGGAGAAAGGAAGCAGAUUGGCUAUAAAGAGAAAUAAUUAUGGUGACAAAUAUGUGCAUCCUUUUUGGACAAAAAAUUUGAGGGGCAUACUCACUUUUAUAAGGAAAAGUUUUUCUACCAAAAUGAUGGAAGAUUGAACACAAAGAUCCUUUUUCACGUCUACAGAGAAAUGAUUAUUUGUAGGAAAGAGCUAUAGAAAUAGAUGGUUGAUCAAUUUUCCAUCCAUCGAUUCAUCAUAUUCCCUACACAAGUUAAUACAAAAAGAAAUCAAUAUUGGAGGUUUUUUUGGAGGGUAAAUUAUAUUAAUGUUGAAGUUCUGAGUUACCUAGUUAAUUAAAAGGUUGAUUAAGAAGAGGACAGUAACGUUGACCUCCACGAGUCACUUUUACCUUGUUCAAUGAGUGCAGUGCAGAAACCCUUGUAGUGUUUUGUGUUUGUGUGUUUGAGAGAAACGAGGAAAUCUCCCUUUACACGUAUGUUUCUACAAAUCUAUCCUCUCACGAUUGAUCUUCAAUAUAACUUUGCCUCACAUCUAAACUUCUUUUCUAAAAGAUUUUAUAGAUGUUACUUGAAUCUGAAAUAUAUAUUCAGCCUAAUUAUAUAUGAAAAACACUUCCUUCCUUCUUUAUUAUGUAAGCAGAAGCUCCUACAUUUCUAUCAAUAGCAAUGCGAAGUGUGUGUAUAAAUUUUUAUUUUUGUAUUUUUGAUGAAUUAUUUUUACAUAUGUAGCAAACUAUGAUUCAAAAGAUGAAUAUCUCUUUACCCUGUAAGGAGACAAGUAGUAUCCAUUAUAUAUAUAUAUAUAUAUAUGCACAAUUGCGGAGCAAAAGUUUUUAGAUUUGGCGGUCAAAAUUAAAACUUAAUUAUAAAUGAUUUUAUCAUCUUAAAUCAAGGUCGAACAUUAGCUUGUAAUUUUAUUUUUUUUUCCAAGUGUUAGAGAGGGUUGUAAAAGAGGUGGGGAGCUAAGACCACUUUAGGGCUAACUUUGGCUUCCCAUGUAUAUAUAUGCACACAUAUACAUCUCAACCAUUAAUAUAUGAUCUAAUAGCAUAUUACAAAUGUUCAACUUACAUCCCUGUUACCACGUAUGAAUCGUAAUAUUAGUAAUAUUUUAAUAUGAAUUUAAGUUGAAAAUUUGUGCAUAUCUACCACCAAAUCAUAUAAAAUUAUAUGACGUGCGUAGAUGUAGAACGAAAAAUGAUGUAUCUCAACCAUUGAUAUAUGAUCUAAGUAGUUGGUUUGAUAUGACAAAUCUUCAACUUAGGAAUGUAUCAAUCAUUCUAAGUCACUUUUCCCCUAAGUGGAAUCAUUCCCUCUUAUGUGAACUUAGACUCUUUAUACAUUUAUCCAAGACUACAAAUUAAUCAUAGUCUCUGCCUGUGAUCAUGAUCAGGAAGAAAAAGGGCAUGCAGUUUCAAGGGACAAUCAUGUUGGCUUUCCUAAAACAAAUAAUAUUAUUUUUCUUCUGAAAUUGCUUUGAAAUAUCUUUUUUACAUGAACCAUAAUUGGAGUUUUUCAUGCGGCUAAACUUAUUAUGGAUCAAGGACUGAUAUUUGGGCCUACCACUUUAGCAAGCAUCACUAAUGGUUGAGAGUAAAUAACAUAGGAUGGUGCCCAACUUUAUAUUACACCUUCUGCUGCUAGUACUCAUCACCCACUCAUGCAUCAAUCUUACAUUCUACACCCAUCAUUCAAUAAGCGUUGGAGCACACUUGCAAAAAAAAAAAAAAAAAAAAAAAUCAUGUUUCUUAAAGGACCUUAAUGAUUCAAUGUAGGAUAUAAUGAUAAAAGGAUCUACACAAUUGCAAUGAAAGAUUUAAAUCCUAUAUCUUACAAAAGAUGACGAACAAAUUUUUUUAGAAAAAGGGGGAAAAAGAGAGCAUCCAAUGUCUAGAAAUUGUAAUCAAAUCCCACUUGUAGCACAGAAAAACCCUAAACUCAAAACCCUUAAAAGAUAAGUCUAUACGAGUGAUAUCCACGAAACUUAUAUUGAAACUAAAAGAUAAAAUCAAAACACAUGGUGUUUGGUGUGCUUGAAUGAUGGUUUGUCUUACAUCUCAGACGUAUCUCAAGUGUCAAGGCUGUGAUAUCUUGGAAUGUCUCUCUUAGUUUUUGCUUAUCUUCAAUGAUGGCAAAAUGGUAGGUAAAUCCAGGCUGAAAAGCUUCACUUCAGACAAUUUAGAAUUGUUUACAAAAGAUAUGUGGGAGAUUUGGCUGUACCAGAUCGGAUUCGGAGGGCCGAAGCUUGAGCUAGGUACAUAACUAUGUAAUAUAACUUAGCAUAUAUGUUAAUUCAGUGAAACAAUCUUAUUAACUUGGUGGAGGCUCAAACUUGCUCCGUAGAGUUGGUCAUGGUCGGCCACACAUUCUGGCUGGCCCUUAAAUUUUGAGCCCUUUGGAGCCCACUUGGGCCAUCUAGGACUUGUAAUGAGGAAAGUCCAUUGCCUAUCUUGCACUAUUAUGUAGUCCUUCAUUCUUUUUCUUGAGCUUAAAAUAGAAGGAACAUGCAAAGGACUUGUACCUCAAGCGGUUAAGAGUAUUUAUUCUGCACCUUAGGUCUUAAGUUCGAUUCCUCUCUUCCCUAAUAUCGCUUUGUUUACCCUUUUUAUAUUUGAAUAUGUUGAAGACUAAGUACAAUUCCACAUUAAUCUUUUAACUACUUAAUGGUUUCUUGGAUUAACUUUAUUUUAUGUGAGCGUGCCACUGUUAGCAGAUAAUACCCUAACAGAUUUGAAUGACUUUAUAUACUUGCUCCAAAAGUAAUAGAUUUUAAACAAACGAUUGUGAUUUUGGGUGGGGAAACCUCACAAGUGAGUUUCUUUUCUAUGCCUUAGACGGGUGAGGACUUCACAAUUUAUUUAAACAAAACUAGUAAGCAAAGCAAAAUACACAAAUUUAUGGAGAAUAUAACAAACUAAUCCAAGUUGAACUGCCUGAAGCACAAAGCAUCAAAUGAAUCUCUAAACCUAUGCAGUUCUCAGAGGUGUUGGACUUUGAUUUCUGUUUGAAAACAUAGUUGCAAUGAUGACUUAUGAUGAGGCUAGACUGAACUUUUGUUGACUGGACUGAAUGUUUCUGCACUGGAAUUGCACGUCAACACCUUCAACUAAUAGAGUUUAGCUGGAAUUCAAUACCAAGUUUGAAGUUGGCAGAGCUAUAAACAAGUUGAGCCUUGAAGAGGCUGUGAAAGUGAUCAGAACUACAGACGAGUACUUGUUUUGGUUGAUUCUGAUUAAUAUGGAAGCUAUCUAGACAAUUUUAAGACAUUAAGAUGUCUUUGAAAAGCUUGUUGAGGAUUUCAUAUGAUGAAAUACUUGACUUCUUCUUGUUUGAUCUAAUUUGCUGAACCAAAUUUGUAAGAGGAAUUAAUCUCUUUUGAAUUUUGCCUGAUUUUCCUUAUCUAGAUGCGAAGGAAAUCUUGGUUUCUUCUUCGUUUUAUGAACUUCUUUUUGAGCUGGAUUGCUUCUUAAGGAAGAUUGCUUGCCUACUUUUGGUAGUUGUAAGAUUGUAUGAUCUUUGAUUUCUUUUGAUCAAUAUGGAUUGAUUGUUGAGUUUUUGCUUGAUUAGUUGGUUGGUUGGGUGUCUCUUCUCCAGUCCAGGCACUCUUGAAUAUAUAGGAGAAAAAUGAUGUGGGAGAAAUCUGGAUAUUUUUGGUUUUGGACUAAUCUUCAUUUAAUGCACAAGUGGCAAAUGUUUUGUCAGUCAAAGCAUUGGUCAUUUUUUGGCACCUGCUCAUCAAUCUUCCUGAAUGUUUCAUGAUUGUUCCUUGCAACAACUAAAAUGAAGUGAACAAUAAUGCCCAGAUUCUGCCAAUGUUGGUACCAUAAAUAUCCAAAUAUCCUGGUGGUAGAAAAAAUUUCGGCGAUCAAUGUAAUAAAUAGCCGUGAUUCUCAACUAAAGCAAGUUUGACUUUUACUUCCCAACUUCUAAGGUCAUCAAUUCUCCUUGGAGUUUAGUCACCAACGGUGAGGAAAUUAACCUGACAAACCUUAACAACUAAGAAACUGUGAAUUUUGGAAAAGAACUAUUUCAAAUAGCUUUGAUCUUUUGGAUUGAAUUACUAUUGGUGGUAACUUUGUUUCUCAACUGUCAGAAAUGCAAAUUAAUUUUAAAUUAAUUCAUAAUAGUUGAAUAACAUGCGUCAUUCACCAUUUUUUGGUAAACAAAGCCAAAUAUUUUGUAAAAAAAGAACCCAUCAGCCAAACUGGGUUGGCACACGGAUUCUAGUAGGGGUGAGCAUUAUUAUCGAAAACCCGACCGAACUGCUUAAGGUAGUUUGGUUCAAUUUUUAGACUAAAAAAUCAAAGAACCGGUAAAAAACCGGCCAAAUCGAACCUGAACCGUGUUGGGCCGAUUUUAAAUACCAGCAAACUGCUCAAAAUCGGACCGGACCGAAUAUUUUAAUUAUAUUAUUAAAAAUAAAAAUAAUACACGUGUCAAAUAAUGAUUCGUCGAGUGUAAGCCAUUUCCUACUCUUUGCUAACACGAUUGAGCGAAACCCUAAAACAUUUCAAGGGCUUCGAUUUUUUUUUUUUCCAUUCCGCCUAUUAUUCUCUUCCUCCUCUCAAACUCUCUGCCUCUUCUCUUCCUCCACUCAAACAUUUCUCAACCGAUCUCUCUCUCUCUCAGCCGCUUUCUCUCAAUCACUUACGCUCUCGCUCAGUCACUCACUCUCGUCUCCCUCAGCCGGUUUCGCUCUCUCUGUCUCUUUCGCUCUCUCUCAGUCAUUCUCAGUCUCCCUCUCUCGAUUUUUUUCCUGUUUCAGGUAUUAAUAUAUGGAAACGGUGCAGAUCAGAAGCUUUAAGAUCUGUGGAAGUUUCAGGGUCAUCUUGUUCAAGAGAUCAGAUCUUCUCAACUGGGAUUCUUGUGAUUUAGCACUGUCAAUACAUAGGUAGCUUUACACUAAAUACAUUUAUUUGUUUUUAUUUGGAUUUUCUUUUGAACUUUGCAAAUAUGCAGAUUGUGAUUGAGAUUACUCUCACAAUUUGCUAUAGUCUGUAAUAAUGAUUUCUGUAUUUGGACAUGUGUGGUGAAUGAUGGUUUUCUUAGGGUUUAAGGUUUUUUUAAAAGUAUUUGAAUGAUGAUAAACUUUAGAUAUGCAAAGUUGGAGAAACUGGAAAACCAUACAGGAACUCUCAAACUUGAAUUGGCCUGGAAAUCUGACCUAAAAAAUAGAAUAGGCCUGGAAAACUUAAAAUAAAAAAAACAAAAAAAAAAACCUUCAAUUGUUGCUUUUGUUGGGCCUCGGCAGAUACCCGAAUCGAACCAACCCAGCCCGCCUAAUUCGAGUUUUGAAUUAAGUCGAAAAUAGGCCAAAUAAACAGGUCCACGGUUUAUCAUUUGGGCUUGCCGACCUGGCCCGUUUCGGCAUACGAUUUGGGCCUAUAACCGGCCCGACCCGACCCGUGCACAGCCUUAGAUUCUAGGCCCAAACACACUUGUAUAAAAAAUUUGAAGGAACAUACAUAAUCAGAUUGGCAAAGUACUCCCACAUUGGCAAUUUUCAUUGGCCAAGUUCUGGCAUCAACAAAGUUAAUGUUAUAAAGAAAAGUAUUAGAAAAUGUACAGUAAACUCGGGAAGCAAGUGAUUUAUGUUAGUAUGCAACUUCAUUGGCUUUUCUGGCUUGAAGCCCAAUUCUAUCAAGAGUCUUCUGAUCCACAAUAAUUCACAAACUCCAUGAGCCAUUCCUCGAUACUCUGCUUCAGCACUAGACCGAGAAACUACAUUUUGCUUUUUACUCCGCCAAGUGACUAGGCUACCUCCCACGAAUGUAAAGUAACAUGAAGUAGAGUGUCUAUCUGUAAUGGAACCAGCCCAAUCAGCAUAUGUGUAUCCAACAACUUCAAGAUCUCUAUUUUUUUAGAACAUUAAUCAUUUCUCAAGGGCUGACUUUAAAUAUCUUAAGAUCCGAUCAACUGCAUUCCUAUGAGAAACACUGGGCGAAUGCAUAAAUUGACUAACCACACUCACAGCAUAUGUAAUAUCUGGUCUUGAAGGACGUAUGAAAAGUAGAACCUUUGGUGGUGGUGAUAGAAGCAGGAGUCUGGGUAGACAGGUCAGUAGGAUUGACCGCAUGCUUCUGUGAGUUUGCAAUAAGAUGGAGAAUCGUAUAGGUUCCUGACAUCGCAGCGAAAGUAAGAUGUGAUAUGAGAAGAUGAGGAAGGUUAUGUGAGAAAUUUGAUGUAGGAAUUGGAUUUAAGAGGUAUGUGUAUAAGAUUUGAGGAUAUGUGUUUAGGGAUUUGAAUAAGAGGAUUUGAGGACUUUAGAUUUGAGGGAUUUGGAUUCGGGGAAAAAUAUGAGGAAUUUGAUUUAGAGUUCUAGAUUUGAAUAUGAGAAAUUCGAGAUAAGGGUUUAGAGACAAAACAACUUCUCUUCACUCCCCCUCUCCCCCUGAAGAGAAGGGGUCGUCAGAGUAAAGAGAUAUGCAGUAUCUUCAUGGGACUACGUCACGGUAAUGGGGAUACAUCAAUAAACAUAUCAUUUUCACUCCCCCUCCCCCCCUUGAAGAGGAGGGAAGGAGAGCACUUAAAUUUCAAGAAGAACGCAAGCACAGGUCACAAGAGAACUAGGCUCUGAUACCAUGCUAAAAUAUGAAUAUGGUUUGAAUACUUUGGGUUGGGUUUUAUUCUUCUCCAUAAGGAGGUAUAUAUAUGAGUUUACAUGAGGGUUUUACAAGGAAUUAGAUACAAUAAAGAAUUAGGAAAGUAUCUCCUAAUUGUACAAUGAUUUAUCACUUAUAUAAAAAUAGGAAAGUAAAUCCCUUAAUUAAUCAAGGAAGUAAAUCUCCUUGAUUAGUUAGUAUACUCACGUCAACAUAUAUCAUUAAAGAGAAUGUAUACAAUGAUCUGAAAAAAGCAUUAUUGAAGACUCAAUUACAUACCAGAAGCAGGACAAACUAGGAAAUUAAGAGACAGAAAAAAAGGGGGGAAAAACAGAGGACUAGUUUACACUUACAAGUUACAAUUUUAACAGUUUUUAGGACAGAAGAGAAGCUAACACUGCAAAACCAGUUCAAGCUCUGAAAUGUUGGCAUCCAUUGGAUUUAUUAUACCGGUUAACUUAAAUCGCAAGUGUAGGUGCUUGAAAUGUAAUCUUGGGGUGUUGAUGGUCGCCUUCAUAUGUAACAACCAACAUGGUAGGAUCUUCCAAGCAUCGUUCGACAUGCUUUCUUGCAGGGCAUCCCCUCACACUGCUGCAUUUGUAAUAACUCCUUUGAAGGCAAAGCAUCAUGGACAGACUUAUCAGCUAAGCUUGGAAAUGGCUAAGCAUAUAUAUAACAUUCAAGAAGAGCACAUAUAAAGCUCAUGGCCAUCAUCUAAUAUAUUGUUGCAAAUUCUAUAUCCAAGGACAAUGUUAGGGUAAUAAUCUAUAAGAAGCAUAUCAAACUAAGGGAAGUGAUUUUGUUGAAAUAAUUCAUUCAUUUUCCUCUGUUCUUCCAGCCAAGUAAGGACUCAUUCAUUUUAUGGAAUUAUGGACUAACUUUCAUCUCUGCCAUAAGCUAUGGAUUGUUUGUGUAUGAUGAAUAAGCCAAAAUAUAUGAAACAGAAGAGAAAAUAUACAUAUUAAACAAUCUAGACCUUAAGAUUUGAAAUCAUUAUGGAGAGGCAAAAAUAAAAUAACACAGACAUACCUAGGAUAUGGAGACCCCUUAAUAGGUUUCUGCCCAUACUUCCUCCAGGUAUAGUCAUCAGGAGGUAUAUCAGCUAGCUUAUUGCUUAAAGCCGGAACUCGGAUUCUUCUCUUUAUUCUAAGUUUCCUGUUAGGAGAUGAACAAACACAAGAAAUUAAAAACCGUCAGCAGGACACAAGAAGAUAGAAAAUCAGAAAUCCAAUCAUAAAUAUUGUGUAAACCAACAAAAUGUAGUGACAUAAAGGACUGCAUUUUAAUCAGGAUUUCAAUACCUUCGCUUUGAGCAAUGGCAUCCACCAGCAGAGACUAGGCAUCUUGGAGUGACUUCUUCACUUUUCGCCCCGCACUUCCUUUUGGAAGAAAACAUAGAGGUACAAUCUCGAGAAGCCAAGAGUUCAGACGACGAAUAUUGAAUCAUCCGCGUGUUAAGGCUACUUCCAUCCAUACUGAUCAAAGAAGUGCUAGUAGGCUUUUGUGAGAAUUGGUUCAACCCCAUGAUUAAAUUAUUAGGAAGAACCACACCGGCUUCAGAUUGCCCUUGCUGCAAUGCCGGGUUUGGUUUUUUCUCUCUACCCAUGCUAAAGCUAUUACUGUGGAUCACAUUUGCAGUUGCUUGAUCAGUUUGAUGAACAGCACUAAAAAACUGUCUAACAAAGCAAUUCUGAGGCUGGGGCUGGGGAUGAGGCUGAGGCCAAUUGUGUGUAGUAUUUUGGGAUGAAGGGUUAGGAGAGUCCAACAGUUCAACCUGGUUUAUGUCAUGGGAUUUUGGCAAAGGACCUCUUCUGAUCCUCUUCUGGUUUGAUAACAAUGAUCCAUCAAGGAGAGCAAGUAGUUUUCUGAAUUCUUCCACUGCAUCUUGAGCAAUCAAGCUUACUUCUUGAACACUUCUCUUUUGUUUAUUCUCAGAUACACAACCAAACAGGUGAUGGGCAUGUUUCAAACUACUUUGAGCAGCCUCAUGAAUUUUGAAAUCCAAUCCUGGGUUCAUUGAAACACAGACACCUGAUUCCUUCUUCACGAGUCAAUCCCAAACCCUACCAAAUUAAUUUCUUACAACCUCAACUGUGCCAAAACAAGGUGAGGCUGUGAUGAGGGCUAAAGUGCUAAACAUGAUCCUGAAAACCAACGUGGCAGAAACCACCAAUGGAUCAAAACUAUGUUGCUUCAGUGUCUGAGUGGAUAAAUUAUUCAUCAUCCACUUCAUGAAGGCUGCUUAUAUUUUGAAAUAAACAACUGUAUUAUACUAUUAUAUCUACCUUUUAGUCAACGGUGGCUUAAGUUUCACAACCCACUAAGGCACUAACCAAUACAACAUCUGAAAAAUCUUAAUUGGUUGAUUGAGAGAGCGAGUGGAGUCCUAGAAAACAAAGGCGAAUAAACUUGCAUGUUGGAGCUAUUUUUGAUACAAGCGAUACUCAGAAAAAAGAUUCCAACACACACAUCGGUGCAUGAUAAAUGCUCCUAAUUAUGUGAGCUACACUUACAAGUCCCAGCCAUACUGGAGCUAUUUAAAAAUCACUAUCUCAAUAAAAAAAAAAUUUGAGAAUUUAACAUACUAAUAUCUUUCUAGUUCAAUGCCAUUAUCUCAUCAAAAUUACAUAAAGCUGGUGUGGGGCAUGUACAAGCCAAGGAAGAAGACGCAUGAGGAUUCGGAGAGUUGACAUGAUUGAGGCAUCGUAGCAGUCUCUCUCACUGAUCACUAAACAGGGCUUGGACUAUUGGCAUUUAUCUUUUGUGUUCAUGAUUGAAGCAUGCUUGUUCCCAAAGGGUGGCAAUUAGUGGCUUUGCUUCCACUCAUCACUUUAUUCAAUUGUUUAUUAGUUUCCUUGGAUUUUCAUGCUAAAGAAAUCGUAUGAUGCAGCAGAUGUUUCUAAAUUAGAUUGGAUUAGAUUGUAAUUAAAUUGAAUUAAUUUGGAUUAGGUAAGAUAAAUUUCAUAUUAUACUAUGUUUGACAGAUUCUUAAAAGAUGUUAUCUUGUAAUUGAUUUCGAUGUUUCAGAUUCAAAUUUUGAAAUACCAAUUCGGCCUGGGGUUUCAAGUUCCAAGCCCACGGUUUUGGGGCAAAGGUCCCAAACAUUAUGGUCGGUAUAUACGUUGCUUUCUUAUCUGUUCGGUAAGCAAACACUAUAGUGAUAGCUAACUAUAGAGUUGAAUCAAAGAUUUCAAAAUAAUGAUUCAUGUUUUCUUGAUUUGAUUUGUCUUUGAGACUUUUGAAGUUGGAAGCGUAUACAAGAAACAAAACUUGACAUGCAUGUUGCCAGAUUGCUAAUCUAGAUCACACAUUUGACAGUCUGAUAUGCCCUUGAUAUAUUCUCAAUUGUUUUUUUUCACAAGCGAUAUUGAGAAAGGGGGAAAUCAACCGUAGGACCUCGGGUGUAGGAGUAAAUGCUCUUAACCACUUACUACAAGCCCCUUAACUUCUCAAUUCUAAUGCAAUCUAAUUCCAAUCUAAGUACACACCAAAGUCCUGUAUCUAAAAUCUGUUCAUUACAGAGAAUAAAGCAGACUCUCAAUUUUCUGGUCUAUGCUCUUGAACAAUCAGUACAAUUUUUGUUUAUCCAUUUCAUGGAAUUCCCAUUUCAUUUGGGAAACCAUUCGAAUUAGAAACCAACUUUGGCUCUUGUAAAAUAGAAGCUUCAUCACAAUUUAUCCUGUUAAGGCUAUGGUGAACUCGUAAGGCACACAAUCCUUUUCUUUCCCUUCCAGAUUGCAGCAAUCUAACAGAACGAAUUAUACAGUUCUCGUGAAGCACCCAAAAAAUAGAAGAAAAAUAAAAUAAAGAAAACAUUUGUUAUGGAGAACUCAAAUGACACAAGCAAACUCACCUUCUCAAUCAUUAAUUUUGUAUCUCUGCGGGAUUAGGGUUAACAUUUAUCCAGUUACCAAUACUAGUAUUAAGAUCAGUACAUGAAUCAGAAAGUAGCUAAAUGAUUCUAAAGUCAGAACAUAAGGUUAUAUGCAGCCAAUGGUUACAAACAAAUACUUGCUCAGAUCUAUGCCAUUCCCAACUUAAAACUUCUCAUAAAGUUCUUUUCCUCCGUGGAACAUAGUUUAGUCGUGAACGUUUGUUUUUGACAGGAGCACACCAGCUUUGACCAUCAGCCGCCUUGGCUCUUAAUUUUUUGUACUCUCUUGAUCUUAAAACUGCCUCCAUAAUGUUUAUAUCUUCACGAAUUUCUUGCCGGGAAAGGGAUGCCAGACCAGGAAGUAUGUCCCUCUGAAAAUCUUUCAAUCUUCUCCCCCUUCUCAACUUAACACCAAAAUCCUUUCUAUCAGUGUAAUCUACUUCAGAAGGCUUUGAUGACACACAAUUGUCAUCCGCGCUGCUUUCUGUUAGCUUUAGUGUGAUUAACUCGAAAGAAUCAGAAGAAUACUGUGGUUGCUCACUCUCCUUCAUUUCCAUCUUAUUUGAUACCCCUACUUUGUAAGGACAAUCUUGAUAACCAGAUGAGUUCUCCAAUGAGAUUCCGACAAGUGCUUCGGCUGCCUCUUUGAUCAAAACAUCGAGUUCAGCUGAUUCUCCUUCCUUCUUGGGGCAUUUGUGUUUUAAUUGACUGUUGUUGGAAGAUCUUUGGUCCUGUUCAACCAUUAAGGUUUCUGAAACUUGAUACCCUACAUGUGUUUCGGAAAAUUGAUCAACACAAAAGGGAUUUGAGUUUCUGUACUCAACCUCAGAUUGCAUAGUCUUUAUGCUGCUGGAAUCAUUAUCACCAAUGCAGCCCGGCUUACAUGAAGCAGAAGAUAUAUUUCCAUGUCCAUCUUGAUCUCUUUUUUGACUAAGAUCAGAAUGUGAAAAUAUAGGGUCUUCUGCUUUGUUGUUCUCAUGGUUUGCUUGUUUAGCAGCUUCACAUGAACGAGUUCGACUGUCUAGGAGUCCCAUGAUGAACCCGUCAUUUCCCUUACCAGGGUCAUUACUGUGACAACAAACUGCUUCACAGAGGUCUAUCUUGGGUCUAGACGCAGCCUCCAAACUUACAUGGCCCAUUUCACUUAUGCUCAAGACAUCAACUUUGGAAUUCCCACCCCAAUAAUCUGUUCUCUCAUUUUUUCUUUUGGAGUUCGUGGAAGCAAAAUCUCCAGAAUCAUCUUUUUGAAACGUUUCAGAAGCUUUAUUUGAGUCAUUAUCAUUUUUCUUUUCCCCAGUUCCGAAACAAGGAGUGCCUUCCUCUACCUUGCCAACUAAUCCAUGAAAAGCAUGUGAUGAGCUUGCUGUUGAAGGAUGGGCUACUGUAGGAUCAUUUGACAGACAAGAUGAAUCAUCAUGCUGAAUUUUGUUGAGGUCCAGAAGCCCUGCUUCACAUGAACUGAAAUGUUGCCUUGUGGUGGACAAAUUGUUAAUUGGGACACCACCAGAAAGCUUUUUUAGUCCUGAAAAAGAGACAAACACAAAGUCCAAAAUGCACAAGACUAUAAGUUCUGAAAUUCAACUUAAUGCAGACUAUGAAACAUAGCUCUACACAGAUAAAUGAGCCGUACCUUGAUUGAAUGGAUUCCACUCACUGUGAUCUGAAUGGGGGUUACUGUCUGCAGCAUGAAACAAUAGAUUUUCCUUCCCACAACUUGAGACGAUAGGAUCAACAAGGACAGAAACUUCAGAAUCGUGCUUGGCCCCGAAGUUUUUUAUUGGAGUAGCACUGCUGAAAGAGGGUGAGUGUUCCAAACCCUCGAUUGAUGUCCUCUCAAUUGAUUCCUCUAAAUCAAUCACUUGGUGUGAGCAGGAAUGAGUUUCUACAUCAAACCAAGUUCUCUUAGUACCUCCCUCUCUCCUACUGUCGUCUUGAAUGCUCAGGGAAAGCGUCAACUCUGCUGGAUCUGUGAAAUUAUCACAACAAAGAGAACUCCUAAGUCCCAGAGUUACUUUCAAGUGGUCUCUUGUAUUAUUAUUCUUCAGGAGAUUCUUACCAAUAUAGCUAACGCAUUGAUCCGAGGGAAGUUUAAGAUCAGGAGUCCUCGGCUGAAUCUUAUCAUAUACACCUUUGUACCCUUCUAAGAAGUCCUGAAAUAUAGAUUGUGUUAAUACAACUUGAAAGACAAGCACAAGCACAAGCUCAUCACAUUAACACUAUCUAAUUACAAAUAAUCUGAAAUGAAACUAGGUCGCUCAUCGACUCAUUCAUAGAGGCUAGAUAUUUCUUUUAUCUCUGCUUCAGGCUACACCAAAUGUAGAAAGAUCUUAAGAGUAAAUUAGUUGGUGAGCAUGUAACAAUGAAAAAACCAUAUUUUGGUCCAAAUAUUAUUUAUUAAACCUGCGUCUAUCAGUUCCAAAAGACCACCAAACACAUUAGUACAAAAAAAUAGCAAAAGGGGAGCUGGCUGCCUUCCAUUCUCCUUUAUCAUAGAACCAUUCAUCCUAAGGCUUAGGAAGUCAAAGAUCACUUACCAUAGGUUCAUCUCGUGUAGAAUUUCUGCACGGUAACAGAGUUGACUCAGCACUAGCCUUCCUGAAAUUGUAUCUACCAAACUCCAUCCUGCCAACGUUCUGCAUCAGUGUCUUCUGUAUCCCAUAUAGAUGAUGGAGGUCAUGAACCUGGAGGGAAAUCAGUAGCAAGAAAGUUAAGUAGGGUGGAGCCUAUUUUGUGCACUUUUUCUCCUUAAACACAUGUAGGGCCACUGUACAUUGGAGCCUGCUUUAGAGUAAAAGCCAAAGUUUCUUAUCUGCUGAAAUUAAGCAGCAUAAGGAUUACAUGUGUAAUUGAUACAUAUUCUGUUUUUCAAACCUCACAUACCAUCAAUCAAUGUCAAGGUUUGCCCAAUACAAAGUUCUUUUAUAUGUUAACUAACCGAUCAUGUACAGUUGAAAAAAAAAAAAAAAAAAAACCAAUCAUGUACAUGCACACAAAAUUAUGCCGGUACAUGACUCAAACUUUAUCCUGUGAUUUAUAAUAUCGUAAUACCUGCUUUUUAAACAUAACCUCCUGGUUGAGCAUAGUUGUCCUCAAAACAUCGUUCAGAGAACCAGUGUAUGCUUGCAUUGACUUUGGAUCAAGAUCUCCUCGCAUCAACAUAUUCAUUUUUCUGAAAUUACAUCAAAUCAGAUUUUACAUAUUUAAGCACGAAAAAGUUUAUAAAGGAUUUCCACAAUGUACUUCAUACCUAGUACUUCAAAGCUCUGUCUAAGAAUUUCACGUAAUAAUUCAGUACUAAUGAAAUUUAAGACCACCAAUUGAUGAAAAGGAUUGCCUUUUCUCUGAAAAAUGCGAAGUGGUUUGUAAAGAAAUACUGUACGGCAAUUGUUACAUAGGCAUUGAAACCGGCAAACCAAAUCUUUGUUCUUUACCAUUUGAAGGAAAAUUUUUCCCAUAACUUGUCAUGUUCUCUCACUAUUUACCCACCAUCUGACUUCUGUUUGUGACUAUCCAUCUUGUACCACCUAUCCCCCUCCCUCUCCUCAGUAGUUUGACUAACAACUAAACUACUAAAAUUAAAAUUAAAACAACGCAAUAAACGCAAAUGCACUUCAUGAUUGUACUAAUCAGAAUUAAUGGCUAAUUAAUGAGACCUCUAUAUCCUAGUUGCAACACAAUGAGGAAGAAAUGAUGACUCUUGAUAAGAUGAUAUCCUGGUUGUGAGACAAGUUGGAUUAAAUUCUUCAUUUCUGCUAUUUGGGGAAAAAGGUUUUGUGGUGGAUAAGUAACUAACAUGGCCCAUGGAAAUGGUUUUGUUAACAAAGUACUUCCAAGUAAGAGACUAUACCAUUAAUGCAUCAAACUAUUUGAAAAAACAGAAAAGAAAAUUCAAGUAGACAACACAGAGAACAAAAGAACCUGGUUAUCAAAAACUACACAACACAUUCAAGCUUCAACACCCAAUUAUUUCAAUGUAACAUGCCAAUAAACAGACAUCCCAUAUGGAAAAAUUCAAGUAGACGAUAACCCAAAUUCCAAAAACACUUCAAACCCAACAGUAUAUGCGUUUAUGCACUCAUAUCACACGUACGAACAUACGCAUAUAUCUGUAAAAUUUGGAAAUGCAGAGAGAAGGAGAGAGAGAGUACCAAGAUGUAAACGACCCAAAAGCAGAGCUUUUUGACAUCCCAAUAUCUGCAGCAGCUUCUUCUUCUUCUUCCCCUUCUUGUUGCUCCACUAAAUUCUCAUUUUCCGCAACAUAGCAGAGAGACUAUGAUCCAAGACAAAUGCAGCCAAUGAUUCAACUUUGUAGCUUUUGUAAGGAUGAAAAGAGAGAGAGAGAGGAGAGAGAGAGAGAGAGAAUCGGAUCACACUGGGGUCAUCACAAGAGAAAGAAAAAGAUAAUUAUGUGCAGAAAGAGAGAGGGGGAGAGAGUAACAAGUAACAAGCGCAAGGAAUGCGCGUGGGGGAUCACACCCCAGUUCUUCCCGCAACCCAAAUCACAGCCUUUCUUUCUCCUGUCUGGCGAUUUUUUAAUGUCUCUUUCUAGUUUCUCUCUGGGUCGUUGGGAUUCCUUUCUUUUCUCUCUCUUCUUUAUAUUUUCUCUCUGUUUCUCUCUCUCUCUCUGCACUUAGAUUUCUGGUUUAAGGAGGGGGGGAGCUGUCACUUGUCAGACGUGCUUCUGCUGGGACACUUUCAACUACAAAAGUUAUUUAGUCUUCCCCAUUACUUGUUUGUUUUACCUUCUUAUCCCUCUUAAUCAUCACACAAAUUACAUUUUUAUCCUCAUAACCAGACUUUGAUAUUUUGGAUUUGUUCACUUUUUCUUUUUAAGAGCAGAUAUUUAAGAUAUUUUUGGUAGGGUCAGGGGUUAGGAUACUACUACUUGCAAAAUAGUAUUUUUUAAUGGUUGGAAACGCGGAAUCGAAUUUGAGAUAUCUUUUAAUAAAUUUAAAUUAUUAUUUUUGAAUAAAAGGAAUAGUCUAAAUUAUCAAGGGAUGAAGAUUUUUCACAGACACUAGACACUAUCAAAGUGCCAUGAGAAUUUGAACACGAGACCACUAAUUUGCUUUUUCUUUUUUAAUACAAAGCUUUCUUGUGCUUCAAAUAAAUAUUAUGUUAAUAUGAAAAAAAGAAAAAGUAAUUUAUUAAUUUUCUGCUCAUGAUGAAAUGUGAGGGAAAAAAACGAGUGAUACUUUUUCCUCACAAUAGAAUACACAUUGCAUUGCCAACGGGUCUAGUUGUGGAAAAGUCAAUGUAGUAUCUUAAUAGUAUAGAUAUGAUAAAAUUUUCCUCUCCCUUUCCGACUUUAGGAAAAGAAAAAGAAAAAAAAAAAGAAAAAACAUAGCAUUGGCCUUAUCAUGACGUCUUUAUUUUGUAGUUUUGGACCACAUAAUAUCAAAUAUGCACUAGAAAGAUGACAUUGCAACCACCCAAGGCCCUUACUUAAGUGACAUGAGGGAGGAUGGGUGAAUGAUACAUCUUGGGUUCAGCAGUUGUAAACUCAAUGGGAUAUCAUCAGUUUUCACAUCAAGCUUGUUGCUUUCAAAUUUAUAUAAGAUUUAACUAUCCUUGUAGAGUAAUUUUCUCUUCAAUUCUUACUAUAUCGUAUUUAUAAAGCAAUUUGACAUAUCGGUCGAAAAUGUAGGAGAAAAGGCCACUCUUUUCAGAAUAACAUGGCUUUCAUGAUGAAUUGGUUUUGGUGUGGUCAGGAACUGACCAAGCAUAAAACGCAUGAGCCCUCCAAUUUAUGUAGGUAGGGGCGGCAGGACCACAUGUCCCAAAACUUUAUUUAGAUGAACAGGUUGUCAAACUCUAAGUUGUUGUUAGCCUGUGAGAAGCUUUCUAGACCUCACUUGUCCAACAUGACCUCUUGCAGUUCAUCUUUCACAGCUAUUGGGUUCAAGAAUUACAGAUAGAUAAUAUAUAUUGGGUUCUUCUAAAGCUGGACCGACCACUAAUAUCUCACUGGUUUUUAUUUUAUUUUUAUAACUCUGAGAGAUUCUUGGGCACAAUUUAUGUAUCCAAAUAAUUCCAAAACCAUGGAGAUCCAGAAGUGGCUUGGUUUCUUACAAUGCUUGCCUUGUAAGUAGUGAUCUACAAACAAACAGGUGUCGUAUUGAGCGGUCCAAGUUUUCCUCAUUCAAGGACGAUUUGGACGCUUGUUGGUUUCGUGAGGAUGUUGUCUAAAAAUAUAAGAAAGGACAAAUUACAGUAAACUUCCCAACUUAUAGAGUUAUUUACGAAUUUAUACUUAAUUUUGGAGAUAUUUAUCAGUACAUGCGUAACGUUGCAGAAACUCUACAAUUUGUCUUAUAUAUUAAUCAAAUUGAUAGUUAAUCUGUUAAAUGCUGAUGUGUCAAAAAUUAGACUCUUUUUUUUCUUUUUUUUUUUUUAUAAGGUGGACUUCCACGUGGAUCAAAAAUUAAUAAAAAAUAAUUUUACUGUUAAAUUAAUUCAAAAAUUAAAAUAAAAUUAAAAUUUUGGCAAAAAUCAAAAGAAAAAAAUUUCUCUCCGUCCUCAUCAACUGCAUCUCCCCUUCCCACCUCCCCUAACACCAAAACCCAGCAGCCUCCCCCCCUUCCCCACCACCUCACCUCUGGCUCCAAGAUCCGGGCUGUCCCCAAUCGGCCUCUGCUCCAGAGCAGAGACAACAAUCUCAGCCAGCUUCUGGAAAUGCCUGACGGAAUUGACCCUGUGCGAGACCGCAUUGCAAAUGUCCAACGCUUUUACCAUCUAAAGGAUCAAUGUGCAGUAAACUUGGCUUCGAAUUAACAAGUCUGGAGAUAGCUCUUUUUUUUCUUGUAGCACCAUAGCGUCCACUAGAUGCUUGGCCAUUAAUUUUUUUCCCUUGUAAAUUUUGUUUGGUACUCAAGUUGAGGCUCUAGCCAUUUUUGUCCCCUUCACAACUUAAACCAGAGAUUGAACUUCCCAAAUUUCAGUUGUUGUGAAAAUAAUCUAAAAACUUGAGCUGAUAAACGUGCGCCUAGAGUUCAACGUUAUUAAGGGAUUUUCAAUAAAGCAAAACAUUUUAAAAAAAACUCUAGCGAUUGACAGAUUAAACUAUGCAAGUUCCCAAAGGAGCAUGGUACUAAAUGUUGGAUAAUUAGCUACAUGAUCUUUAUUGGUCCUGCCCGGACCCCGACCCGCCACCUCUUGAGACCCUCUGGCCGGCCAACUCUUUCACCGGGCACUGCCACUCGCUGGCCACCUAUUCAAGUGGUAUUUGUGAGAAUGGAUUAUGGAAGUUCUCCCCUCAUAGUUGAAAAAUAUGCACUACCAACUAUUUGCGCCCAUUGUCCAUGUUUUGACCCAACAUUUAUCACGAGUGCCUAGAGAAGGAUUUGAUGGGCUUUGUACUUUGUGUGCGUCGUGCCACAGGUUCAGUUUUCUUUUAUCUUCUGGGCCUCUGGCCCCAUCCUCACCGAGCUUCAACUUCGUAUAGUUUGGCCCUUUCCUUUAGUUUAAGAGGAAACAGUUUCUUAGCCCAAUGAGCUUAUACAACCGGCCCUUGACCUAAGAAGACCAAACUGCGCCAUCUAAACACAACUGAAAGGGGCUCAUGUGGGUUAAGCAAGUCGGCCAGAGCAAUGAGCCCACCCCUUCCUGUACCCAAAUUUAAAUUACUCUCCCGGUAGAUUAGAUUAACUUAGAAUAGAUUAUUGCUUCUAUAUAAAAUAAAGUAAAGUAAUAGGGAUCGAUGUGUUCCUGUGCCCUUAGAAGAUAUGCUCUUUUUUUUUGGAGCAAAUGCAUAGCUGGAGAUAUUUCUGUCAUCGGAUGACAUAACUUUUUGCUGGUUGUUGGGACCCUAUUCGCUCUUUCAUUCUCAUACAAAUGUUGGUUGAGCUUAAUUUUAUAUGGUGGGAUGAGAAGAAUUUAUUACUUCCCUUUCCAUAUGCAAAUCUGUAUCUUAACCAGAUGCGUACAUGAAAAUGAAAGGGAAACUUUAUUGAGUAAGGCAUAAUCAUGCAUUGAUUUCAAAAGUGUAUAAUUAUUACAUUUUUAAGUUCAAGCUUUCUUGAACAUGACUUUGAAUGGCACAUCAGUGAGAGCCAGGCGCCUUUUCCCAUCUUGAAUAAAAAUCCCAACAUCUCUGCAUAUCACUUUGCAGAAAUUGCAAACUGUUGGGCAGAAGACGAGCUUGUAGUCUUCAUCAUAUUUCUCAAUCUUAAACCAAUUGCUUGUGGUUUGACGACCGGGAUUGCCCUCAACCCCACCACUCGUGACAAACCACUGUCCUGUUUGCUCAUCAAACUUGUCCAAUUUCCACAUCGUGGAUUGAACGCAGAUUGUGGCAGCAGAGAACUUGAUGUUAUGAUCGGUUGAGACCCGAACCACGCCUUUCUUAGGGUUCACCGGUGAAAAUGUCAGCGGGAGACCAUUCGACACCUCAUGCUGCUCUUGAACAACAUCAAGUGGGCAGCUGGUUGUGUUGCUAGUGCUAGCCAGAGUGAGCCCCCCGCCCCUCCCACGGAUGACUGGUAAGAUGUAAUAAUCGGUGCCCGUUCGGAGCUUCUUGCCGGUGAUGUCAAGCACCGGGGACGGAGCAGCAUCGGCUGCAACUGACCAUGGCUUGGCAGAGAAGGCAAGGAGAAGGAAGCAGAGUGCUAGCCUCAAUGACAUUGUUAUUAGUAAUUUCUUUGUUAUUUUGUGUAUAAAUGAAAGAGGGGGUUCUAUUUAUAAUAGAAACUAAGGAUUUAGAUUACAUUUGGGUUGAAAGAUGAUGCCUUAGCCUUACACUUAUUUGUUCCUAUCCACAACUAACAAAAAUAUAUGUAGCUUAGGCUAAUUCCAUUGAAAUGUUAGCUGUGUGCUGAAAACGUAAAACUUGGUACAAUUCGGAAGUCGAGCAAUCUGUAUUUUAUGUGAAGUCAAAUGUCAAUACCCAAAUAUGAUUCAAAGUUUCCGUCUCUGAUUUCAUUUCAAACCACAUACGUAUAUAUUAUAGCGGUGGCUUUGACUUCAUGUAUGUCUAUAAGAUAUAUAUGAAGCUGGGAAGCAUUACGUGCCCUUUUUGGUCUAUGAAUCGUAUAUAAUAUAUUUGAAGGAUUCUACUGUUUUUUCAUGCAGGCCUGUUCGAAUUCUGGUUUUUGCAUAUACUGUGAAUUGCGCAUACAUCAACGGUCAAAAAACGCUUGUGUGCAUAGGUGCUCAACUUAACACUGCUCAUUACAUUUUAGCAAUUAAUUAGUGAUUUGUAACUCUUAAACCCCUAUGAGAGAUAAAAGUAUGAUCCAAGUCCAAAACACAAAAUAAUAAUUGAAUUGAAUUGAGCUAAUUAUAAUGAUUUGCAAAAGAUUUGGAUCCUAUGUCAGGUUUUAUUUGACUUCUCUUUUCUACAUGUUGCCUCACUUAAAAUAUCAAUCCAACGGCUAAGAAACUAACACCACAAUUUUCUUUUAAAAAUAGCUUAAAGUAGGAAUUGAUCAUUCUCUUUGAUGAGUUCUUCCACACAAAUCAAUAUCUUAUUCCUUGUGAUGGUCUUCUUUUCUGUUUUUCUGUUUUUCUUUUUCAUUCUGACGUUUAAGGCUAUGAUUCCAUGUCUCGGUGGACAAAAGUAGAAAGAAAAGAAGAGGUUGAGCCAAUUGAAUCAAAUACAAUUCUUAAUUGAUGACAAAAUGAUGUACAACAGAUGACAGAAGCAAUUAAAGAGGAGCUGGACACACAAGUGAGUAAGGGCAAAACGGACAAACUGCAGAUUUGGGCUUUGAGCUAAGAAUCGAGCCCAUAAUCCGUCAAUUCGAAGAGAACGGCAUCAUGAGUAAAACUCAUCACUUUGCCAUGAUGUAUGGGCUUUUUCAGGCAUUCGAGAUCAUUUAGCAACCCAAAAUCCAGUUUUAAAGUAUUUAUAGUUUUUGGAAACUUUGUUAUUUUUCUAUUUUAAUUCCUUGUUUAUUUUUAAGAGUAUUUAAACAAAUUUUACCCGUGGCUAGGGUUAUGUUUUGUUAUUCCAAUAUAUUAAAUAAACCUGGAGGUUUCCUUAGAGCAGCUCCAGCGAGGGAGCCCAGCCCGAGGCGAGGGCAGGAAAAAAAAAAAAAGUCGCUCCAGCGUACAGCCCAGGCCCGGGGGUGGUGUGGGACCUACCAACUCGGGCCAGCCCGAAGGCGAGACCAGCCCGAGGUCCAACUCGCUUGUUGCUGACGUCAGCCUCGCGUCACGCUGACGUCAGCGCGCCAGGUCCAAGGUACGCUGCCACGUGUCGCCUCCCCAGCCUUCCGAUAUGCUUCUCCAAAUUAAUCCAACGGCUGAGGCUUUUUUGGGCAAUAAAAAUAUGAAAAAAAAUCGUAAAUUUUUUUAAAAAAUUCUAAAAAAUUCUGAUAUUUUUUUUUCUAUAAAUACCUAUCAAUACCCUUCACUUUCAACACCAAUCCUCAUACAUUUCAUCCUCUAUACCUUAUUUCCAUUUUCAACAUUUAAGUAAAUGUCUUUGUCCUUUUACUUUAAUUAUUUUUAUAUUACUCCAUUUACUUAAGUUUACAAUGUAAAUAAGGAAGUACCCCCCAUUUGGAUUCAAAUAAAAAUACUAGAAAAUCAAAUUCCCACCAAAUCAAAAUAUGAAAAAUCGGUUUUAGUGCAAAAUACGAUUUAGGCUAAAAAUGAUGGCUCAUUAAGUCAAUAUAUACUUCAUAUUAAAAUCCCAUAAAAUCAAGUUUUCUUAUUUGAUGUGUAAGGAAUAAAAGCCGCCAAAAAUUAUCUUGAGAAAAUAAUUAUUCCGAAAAACCAUUUUUCAUACUUAGCCAAUAUUGCACCUCCGCUAAAAAAAUUAUGGGUCCGCCCGUGUCUAUAAAUACCAACCAAUACUCUUCACUUUUAACACCAAAUCCUAAUUUUUUUUUAAAUGAAUACCAACCAAUACAACUAAUAAAAUAAAAUCUUAUCCGAUAUGAAUAGUAUUGACACGUAGGAACCCAAAAAUCUUAUCCGAAAAUAUUAUCCAAAUUAAUUAUUUAAGUAAAAAAAAGUUGUGAAAAAACAAAAAAAUGAAUAGUAAUUGCCCUUAGCCAUGGCAAUGGGUGGAAACUCAAAAUACUAUUUGCAAGGGCAACCACUAUUCACGUGAAUAGUGGCUGCCCUAGCUCCCCCCUUGCCAUGGCUAAGGGCAAAUGGGUGGAGUUGCUCUUAUAUCUUCCUAGUGGAUUUCAGAGUUACAUGUUUUAGGCUAAGGUUUUAGCUAAUCUAUUGUCACGCUGCGACACAAAACUAGAACAAUCACAAAACUAAAAGUUGUACACAUUUUCGUGUAAUAACAGGUAUUUUAAUAUAUAUUUGCAUUUCAAAAUUAGUCUGCAAAUAUAUACUUGGGAGCUUCUAUAAUGAGGGGCUAUGUUGAGAGGUUACAAUGAGGGAGUUCAAUCAAACAAUCCAAUAAUAAUUCUGCAUUGGAUCGAACAGCUAUUACAGACCUCAUUAUAACCCCUCACAAAAACUCCUCAUUCUAACCUCACUGUAUAUACUCUUCGUCAUUGAAAACUUACACAUGAAACCCAUCCCAUCUGUAAUGGGCCCGUGUCCUUAAAAAGAAGGGUGAUGCAUAGGGCAUUUGGGCAUUCAAUUUAAGAGGCAGAAGUUGAGCAUGAAAUGCAAACCCAUAAAAAAGCCCAUCGCAAAGAAGAAGAUAUUGACUUGGCGAAGAACUCAUCUAGAAAAUGAUUAGUUCCUACAUUAAGCUUUAAAAAAAACCAAAACAAAACAUGUAUGGUGGUGUUAGAACAUUUUUAAAUCAGGUGGCAUGUUGAGAAAACAAGUCAAGUAGAUCCUAGUAAAUGAUCCAAUUCUUUAACAAGUAAAUGCGCUGUUCAUAGUUGUGAUGAUACACAAAAUGGUGAGUUGAGAUGAGAGUGAGACAAGACAAGUGGCAGCACUCACAUGAUUAUCCAAAAAAAUAUCUAGAUAUUUGUUGAGGCAUGCUUUCUCAGACUCAAAAGUCCACAUUAGAGGCUUGUCAUGAUUUUGGUAGAAAGGGUUGUCUAUACAAACCUUCCUCUUGAUAAACGAAAAUUUACCAAUAUAUAAAAUCAGAGAUAAAUUGUUUACAAAGAGUAGCAACAUUGAAAAACACCUGUCUCCUGAAUCAGUUUAUGUUUACUUAGGCUGUUCAAAAGCUAAGCAUAUGUGGUUCCGAAAACAGCGGAUAAAGCCGAUCUUGUGUUCUUCCCCAUUGAAGUUUGGAGGAAAUUUACUGACAAAGUCACAAUAUUAUUUAAACAAUCAACAUGAAAAUGAAAGUAACUUGAAUGAAAUUUUAUUGAAGCAAAACAUAAUCAUACAUUAAUUUCAAAAAUGCAUGUUAGCACAUUCUUAAUUUUUCAGUUCAUACUUUCUUGAACAUGGCUCUGAAUGGCACAUCACUGAGAGCAAGACGCCUUUUCCCGUCUUGAAAAAAAAUGCCAACAUCUCCACAUAUAACUUUGCAGAAAUUGCACACUGUUGGACAGAAAACGAGCUUGUAGUCAUCACCAAAUUUCUCAAUCUUAAACCAAUUGCUUGUAGUUUGACGACCCGGAUUGCCCUCAACCCCACCGCUCGUGACAAACCACUGUCCUGUUUGUUCAUCAAAUUUGCCCAACUUCCACACCGUAGAUUGAACACAGAUUGUAGUAGCAGAGAACUUGAUGUUAAGAUCAGUUGAUACACGAACAACGCCUUUCGUGACAUUCACAGGCGAGAAUUUCAGUGGAAGACCAUUGGAGACCUCAUUUUGUUCUUGAACAACAUCAAGUGGGCAGCUGGUCUUGUUGCUAGUGCUGGCCAGAGUAAGCCCACCACCUCUCCCACGGAUGACCGGCAAGAUGUAAUAAUCGACUCCGGUUUGGAGCUUGUUGCCGGUGAUGUCAAGCACUGGGGAAGGAGCAGCAUCGGCUGCAACCGACCGUAGCUUGGCUGAGAAGGCAAAGAGAAGGAAGCAAAAUACUAGUGGAUAUGGGGCUUUCAAUGCCAUAGUUAUUUUGUGUACCAAUGAAUGAAGACAGAAGAGAGACUAUUGUAUUCAUAACUGAGACUGAGUUAGGUAUGGGUUGAAAUAUGAUGCCUCUUGCAUUUAUUUGUUCUUAUCCAUAACUAAUUAAUUGGGCUGAGUUAUUAAAAUGUGUUUUAUGCUGAAAAAGUGAAACUUGGUAUAAUUAGAAAGCCAUGUACGUACCUAAUAUGAUUCAAAGUUUUCGCCUGCUUUCAUAUAAACUUACUUUUUAAAAAAAUAUUUUAAAAAUCUAUGAGAUUCGAAUUUGAGAUUUCUUACAAUAUUAGCGAAAUACCAUUAAGCUAGCUGUGAGCUAAUUGGUACUGCAUGACAUGUUUGGCAAGGUAGGUUAACCACUUAUAUUUUUUAAAUCAAAGAGAAGAAUUUCAUUGAAUUUGCAUCAGCACUUACAAUAGAAUCAAUUGACGAAACGGAGAGAAUAGUCUCAUUAAAACCUUGCCAUAUGAAACCCCCAAAAGAAGGAAAAUCCGGUCAAGGAAAAAGAGUACCACAGCAUCUCCAAAUAAACAACUGAGGAAAACAAAAAAGAUUGUUAAGUCUGCAUCCUAUCGCUCUCUAUUACUUGACCAAAAAAUAAAAAAUAAAAAAAAUCGCUCUUGUUAUAAAACUGGAGAAUUUAGAGAGGAAAAUUGAGAGAAAGAAUUGAGAGACAGAGAGAGAAGAAUGUAGGAACUGAACUUCCCUUCAGAGUUUUUUCUUCUCAUUUAGGUGUUGAAUGUGUAUAUUACAAACAAAGGGGUGAACCCGUAUAUAGGCAAAGCUUUCCAACAUGUGGGCUCCACCUUACCAAUACAAUACAAAUGGGAGGAAGCUUCAUAGGGAGGAAGCUUCACAGGUUUCCAUCUUGUUUACAACACUCCCCCUUGGAGACCACAAAUGAUACGGAAUAUGCCUCGUUAAAAACCUUGCCAGUAAAAAUCCAGUGGGACAAAAACUGGUCGAAGGAAAAAAAAGAGUACAUAAUCAUGUGUAACAUAAAAUUCUGUGUAUAUUGACGCGCAUGCGACACUGUCUCGUUAAAAUCUUGCCAGGAAAAACCCAGUGGGAUAAAAAACUGGACGAAGGAAAAAGAGUACAGUGUUUGAAGAUCUUUAUUGAUAGCACGCUCCCCCUGAUGCUUGGCAAAAUAUCUUUGAGUCAUACUGUUUAUCACCUUUCUGAAUAUCGUAGUUGACACUGCUUCUGUGAGUUAAUUGUGAUCGAUACUGCUGCUGUGAGUCAAUCUUGAGUGACACUGCUGCUGUGAGUCAAUUUUGAGCGACACUGCCUCGUUAAAACCUUACCAGGAAAAACUCAGUGGGAUAAAAACCUGGAUGAAGGAAAAAGAGUACAGUGUAUGGAGGUCUUUAUUAAAACCACGCUCCCCUUUGUGAAUAUCUCCCCCUGAAAAAUUUAGGACUAGCUUUUGUCCAGUAAGCGACCAUAAAAAUUUUCAUAGUAUACCCUAAACCCUUGAGCGACACUGCCUCGUUAAAACCUUACCAGGAAAAACCCAAUGGGAUAAAAACCUGGAUGAAGGAAAAAGAGUACAGUGUAUGGAGGUCUUUAUUAAAACCACGCUCCCCUUUGUGAAUAUCUCCCCCUGAAAAAUUUAGGACUAGCUUUUGUCCAGUAAGCGACCAUAAAAAUUUUCAUAGUAUACCCUAAACCCUUGAGCGACACUGCCUCGUUAAAACCUUACCAGGAAAAACCCAAUGGGAUAAAAACCUGGAUGAAGGAAAAAGAGUACAGUGUGGAGCUGAGCUCUAUCUGGUCUAGUAUACUUCCGGAAAAACAUUUAAGGACCAACGGAUAAUCCUCAUAAAAAUGCUUCAAUACUUUCUUAGUAUAAGCAAGAAUCUCGUUGGCAUAAUGCUCGAUCGAGACAAAUAUUUCAUGAAUUCUGCAGAAGCUUUAAUGUGUUGCAAACACAUUAUAAUCAAUGUACUCACUGAGGUAAUUUAUGCAUAUUAAUAUUGAGUACAAAUUUCGUGCUUCAAGCACAUGUCCUUUAGGGACUUGUUUUAUGCAAUGUCAAUCCUCUCAACGGAUUUUGUUUAAAAAGGGAUUAAACUUUAUGACACAUUAUAUAACUUUAACCCAGCUAUUUAUACAUCUUUAGGGAAUCGCUUCUGGCGAUAUGCUCCGUGUAUUUAAUAACCCUUAAAGAUAAUAUGUUGGUCUCCGUAAUUGUGUAAUAAGGGGGGCACAAUUGAAUCUGUAAAUAUGGAGAAAACCCAACAUUCCUUGUUUCUGCCAGAAACAGUGUGUCAUACAAAGUAGGUAUAUUCCCUUUUAUUCCGAACACCCAAGUAUAAAUUCAGUAUUAACAAAUUUUGGGGUUCGUAUUGUGGGUUUGUUCUUUCACGUUCAUUCUCAUUUAUAAUGGAAUUACCUCGUUCCAUUUUGGCCAGUGAUAUUGUCGACAUUUAAUAAUUGAACGUGGUUCCAAUCAACACAGCCCAUUGAUGAUUUGAGUAACUACUCCAAAACCAAAAAUUGUCAUUCAUCAAUUCAUGAUCCCACCAUUCUCAUGUGCAUGCGCAUGCAUCAAUUAUAAGCAUUUCUUUGCUUUUGGGUACCCAAGCCACUGCAGGGGGCUUUUAUUAUGUGAGAAUGUGGAUUAUAAACUCCAUCGGAGCGUUAUUUAGUAGUAGGGCGUGAAAAAUCUCCAUUUAGGGAGUUGGAACAUUUAGAACCCAUAUAUCUGUCAUGCUACAGGCAUGCCACAGAUUAAUACAUACAUGUCAAUUAAUUUAUGGGACUUUAACCCAUAUUAUGGGACUUUAACCCAUAUAAUUUGCUACGCAUUAGGCGUGCAUAAUAUCAAUAUUGACAUGUCAAAGGAUUGUCCUUUCGGGACUUCAAUCCACAUCAUUUGCUACGCAACAGGCGUGCAUCAUAUUGAUCACUGCUAUACCCAUAUUCUGUUCUUAUGGGACUUUAAUCUGUGCAGUGUAUUAUCAAUGUAUCCAACUUGCAAUCUGUAAAAUUUGCGUUAAUAAUUCAUGGAUACAUACAAGCCAUUCUUUUGGAACGGACUUAUCUCCCCAUUUGGUUACCUUUCAAGAUAAAAUAUCAAAUAGGUAUAUAAGCAUAAAAUAACACAAGUAUUGCUUACAUCCUUAGGUGGGAGAAACUUUUCUCAAGUAUCAUUCAAGCUCGUAUCGGCCCAGUAAAUAUAAAGUAUCGCUUGAUGAUCUUGUUAUAUCCUGCAAGAGCAAAAAUCACAAUUCUCUUCUCUGUCAAAAACAAAUAACUCUCAGAGUUAGGAUCACUGCAUGGAUUCAUUCUUCAGAUGUUCAUUCUAAAGAAAUAAAAUCUCUUAUGAACAGAGAGUUAUAAAAAGAGAGAAAAGAUACAAAGAUUGUGAUAUUGAUUGCAAGGUAAGGUAAGCAAUCAAGGAAGGAAGCUGGUGGGAGCAGACAAUAAGCUCUCAUAUCUCCUAGUCUAGAAGGACCUCAGGAGAUUAGAGCAUAAGGCCGCCUUUACAAUUCCCUGAUCUUGCAAAAACAUGAUCAGGGAUAGUCUUGCUUCCUGAAUGGAUGAUCAGAGAUAGUCUUGCUUCUCAGGCAUAUUAAGUGCUUAUUGAUAAGAAAAACAAGUAGAUAUCGCAUCACUAGGUAUGGAGUAAACUGGAUGUCUUCUGCAAAGGAAAUUUCGUUAGUAACACAUUUAUACACAAAUACAAUGAAUAGGUAGAACCGGUGAAUUUCAAAUUAACCAUAGGAAAAUUGCGAGAUUCUCGGGAUGCUUUUGAAAAAGUAGCUCCGUGAAAUCCGUAAAGCAAGAUCGGCUUUGAAAAUAAUGCUUGAAAACGCCGAAAGUGCCGACAGGCAUUAUUAGAGGCCACGUGAAGUUUUGGACUCUAGGAAAGAAAAAGAGAAAUAUGGGGAUCCGAGAAGAUAUUGGGAUCCUGAAAAACAGUAGCCAUAUUUCCUCUUAUAGAUAUUGCCUUUGCAAAACUUGAUUGGAACAACUGCGUUUCAACUCAACUUCCUUCAGAGGCUUCUAGAACAUAAUGUAUUUUUAUAGAUUUUACAGGGCCUGCACCUUCAUUGCAGGUGGAAAAAUCUAUCUGUUAUAUGUUCCUGUAAUAAUAAUUGCGCACAUUCUAAAACUGGCACCUGUGGUUUUUACGUCUUUUCAAAAUGACGGUUUGGAACCUUGUGCCUUAUAGGUUCAAAUAACCACAUUGUUUCUCCCAAAUUUCAUAUUUUAUCGCAUGGUAGCCCGAAACUUUUGGCCUGGGCACAAACUCAGAAUUUAUUUGCUCUUUUCAAAUGGACAUGAAAUAUGAAUUGAGUAAAAGCCACGAUAAUAUCGCAAUAUAGUAGUGAAGAGCAUUAACUACUAUAUACCCACAACUUCAAGUUCAGGAUCUCUCAUAUAUUUGGAUCCAUGGGCUUCCGGCCCAGAUAUAACAAAAUAUGUGGGGAGCCUCAAUUCAUUAUUUGAGGUUUAUAUUGAUAUUAUCCAUUUCGCGGUGUAUUCUUAACUACCGGAAUUCACAAAAUAUAUUUCUUCCUUGAGGUGUCGAUUAUAACAAAAUUGAACUUUAUUAAAUUCAUCAUCUUCUUAUACCAAAGAAAUAUGUGGCAUACCACAAUUUGCAAUAAUACCUCAAGGGUUGUCCAUUUAAUUGUUGGAACUUCAGGUUCUCAACACUGUUAAAUUUGGAACUUCAGGCCAAAGUCACAUAUUCUCAUGGUAUGAACAUUUUUACAAUUUUCUGUACAUAUUUCUGGACUUCAAGCCCUUACAUAAUUGUCCAUAUUUUGAGGAACUUCAGGCAUCUCAUUUAAUUGCUCAUCCAUGAGUUGAAGGAACUGCAGGUUCUCUUUUGUAUAUAGUGACAGUUUACCCAAAAUGGUUCAUAUGCAUACGUCACUAUUCAUGUGAAUAGUACUAUUCAUCAAGUCAUGAAUACGUAUCUAUUCAUCUGCCAGUACAGUUAUCAUCAAUGUGUACGGCACUAUGAACCAAUACGGUAUUGUUACAUCAUUAUCCUUAUUUACAUGUCAGGAAUCAAGGACCCUUAAGUCCGAUCACAUGUUUACAAAUACAGUACCGGAGAGACUGCCAGCUCUCAUAUUAAUAUCAUCAUCAAGGAUCUUCAAGUCCUGAUGUAAUUGUAUGAUGAGGAUCAAGGAACUUCUGGUCCUGAUCUGCAUACUGUAAAAAACUCAUCAUACAACACAUUUAGUCCAUAAAAUAAAUUGCUUGUAAAUAAAUUACUGGUAUGGACGAUAAACCCGCACCACACUUUAAAUAAAUGUAAAUGUGCGGUAAAAUAAAUUCAUAAAUUAAAUUGCUUGCUGUAUGGACGUUAAUCCCGCACCAUACCUUAAAUAAAAUUAAAUGUGCGGUAAAGUAAACGUGCUUGUAUGGGCACUAAUCCUGCUCCAUACAUAAAAGCAAAGGCGUGGGCGAUAAACCCGCACCACCCUUUUAAAUAAAUACUGUUGUAUGGGUAAUAAACCUACACCAUACAGUAAAUAAAAUAAAUGUGCGGUAAAGUAAAUUUGCAGUAAAUUAAACGUGCUUGUAUGGGCACUAAUUCUGCUCCAUACAUUUAAAUAAAAUUAAAGGCGUGGGCGAUAAACCCGCACCACCCUUUUAAAUAAAUACUGUUGUAUGAGUAAUAAACCUACACCAUACAGUAAAUAAAAUAAAUGUGCGGUAAAGUAAAUUCAUAAAGUAAAUUUCAUAAAGUAAAGUGUUAGGAUUAGUAACGGUUUCCCACUGAUAAUAUGUUUAGUAUUACCGAGGGUCCAUUUUUGUUAAUGGUUAGUAAAAGAAAAGCAGAUAAAUAUAAUAGGAAAUAAUAGAGGAGAUAAGGGAGCAGAAAACUUAACGCUUAUGCUCUUGCUGAGUGAUCCCUUUUUCUUUUUUUU
RNAcentral lists this long non-coding RNA (78156 nucleotides) under Prunus persica (peach). Its description in RNAcentral is "long non-coding RNA (PPER_LNC005393)". The stretch from base 18896 to 19185 matches the Rfam family "Plant signal recognition particle RNA". The record is from RNAcentral. Lineage: Eukaryota; Viridiplantae; Streptophyta; Magnoliopsida; Rosales; Rosaceae.